RNAcentral lists this long non-coding RNA (69326 nucleotides) under Solanum lycopersicum (tomato). RNAcentral's name for it is "long non-coding RNA (SLYC_LNC000841)". The stretch from base 67851 to 67923 matches the Rfam family "tRNA". The record is from RNAcentral. Lineage: Eukaryota; Viridiplantae; Streptophyta; Magnoliopsida; Solanales; Solanaceae.
UUAAAUUCAAUUAUAAUGAGUUUUUUGAACCCCUCGAACGAUGUGUGAAGCUCAGUCUCUUUUAUAUAAAUGACAUGUCGUAUCCACAUUACAUAUAUAUGUCAUGUCAUAAUUAUUUUUAAAAUUAUUAUUAAUCAAAUUGUUUCAUAAAAGAAAAAGAAUAAAUAUUUAUUAUAUUUUUUUUUACAGUAGAACUCUAUUACUCUCUCAAUCUCUCCUACUCACACUAUUUCACAGCCAAAAUCGUCGCCGAAAAAUCAUUUUUUCCGGCGAUACCACUCAUAUUCUCACCCUUACCUGUCUUCAUCUCCUUCGCACAUCAUCAUCAUUUUCCUUUCCUCUUCCAAUCUCCCCAAAACCAACAAUCUAAGCCACCAAUCAUCAGAUUUAGCCGAACACUAUCACCAUUUUGCCUUCAUUUUGGACGCACACCAUCACCAUUUUUGCCUCCAACCCUUAAAGAUAAUUUAUUUAUUUAUACUUUCACUAUUCCAAGAAUCUUGAUCUAUCUCUGCUUCAUUCAAUGGCACCCUGAUACUCUUUCCUAGUACUCUGUUUUGCGUUCAGGAUGCAAGUGAAACUAUUAAAGAUGAAAGUUUUUUGCAAUUUCUGCAGUAGCAUCUCUACUUUAGCUCUUAGUUGCCUCAGUCAUCGUUUCCAUCAAAAAAGAUCCAAUCUUUCUUUUAUUGCCAAUAAUCGGACCUUUAUUGAUUCUAUUUUUCUAUUUGAGCAACUGUUGAUAGUAGCAGUAGUAAUAGUGGUGGUGGCACUAAGGAUGAAAUUCCAAGAAGGAGAAGAGAGAAAGGGGGUUGAGGCAGAGGAGAGACGGGUGGGAGUGGUGUGGGAGAGGGAUGGUUGAGGAAUAUGAGUUUUAAUUUAUUUUUAAAAAAAAUGAUAUUUAUUAUUUUUAUUUAGAUAUUUUGAUAUAAAAUACAUUUCACUCGCUGUCAAACGCUUGUUGUUAUGUAAAUUUUUAACUCAGCAUUAUCAAUGACACAUAAGUUCGGUCAAUGGUCAAAGGGGUUUAAAAUAUUAUGUUCUGAUGAGUUUAGGGGUUCAGUUGACAAAUAUGUAAGUAGAAGGGUUCACAAUACAAACGCAUCCAAAUACAAGGGUCCACCAAACUAUUCCGCCUAAAAAAAUUAUAGGUAUUAAUCUUUUAUUCGUUUUCUUUUCCGUUCCAUAAACAUUUUUUCUCUUUUUUUUUAACCAAACAAAUUAGAAUCAUACAUUACACGUUGAUAGGUUUUUUUCUUACAAACGAUAAAAGAGUAAGAAUAAAUUUUAGAAAUAGCAAAGAUAAAAAUUAUAUUAGUAUAUUAUAACUAUAGUUUUGUUGUUUAUUCUCUAUAGUCAAAUUAUAUUUGUUAUGGAGCAUCUAAUUUGUACGAAUUGGGUGCUAAUUCGUCUGUGUGAAUGAAAAUUGGUUUAGAUAUGUAUAUGUUAUAUGUGUUAGGCUAGAGUAGCGAUUGCGAGAGAGUGGAGACAAGAGAGGUGAAGUAUAUAAAUAUAGCAGUUAGACAAUUGUAUAUAUGUAUCACUGAUUGAUAUAGAAUCACUUGAUACAUGUUGUUUGUGUGCUUCUUGUUGACGAGCAAACAUGAAUUGAAUUUUUUUGAACAAUUUUUCGUAAAAAUUGUAUUUUUAUCUCGGAGCCUUGAAGGAAAGAAAAACCGUUCAUAACUCUUGUUUUGAGUGAAAGAGAGAUCAAUGGCCCGCACCACAUUCAAGAAUAGUGACAAAAUCUAAUUCAGAAUUGAUAUAAAAUUACAGAAUGCACAUUGUUGGUAAACAUUCUACUCAAAAUUCAGUUUAAAUUUGAUUAUUUCUAAUAUUCUAGCUACGCAAGACGUAUAUUGCACGUAUAUGCCAUAUUAUGUAGUAGAUAAAUGUCACAGCAUAGAGUUACAUUAUUUAAAUAAUAAUUUCAAAUAGAAACUAACAUUAACAUCGGUAUAACUAUUUUAAAAAUAAAAAAAUCAAAUAUAAUACUGAGUAUGAUAAAUAUUCUAUUUAUUCAAUUUUAUAUAAAUUUAAGUAAAUAUACGUGCACACUUAAAGUUAGAAGCAUAUAUUUUAGUUAAAACAAAUCAAACAACAUAUAUAAUACAUAAACACAAUCUUUAACUUGGCUUUAGCGGACAAUUAUGUCUCUAACUUUAGUUAUGCACAAAUACAGAGUUAAACUUAUAUAAAAUUGAACAAGUAGACAUACAUGUUUUUACAUGUCAUAAUACAUGUAGGACACCACGUAGGACACACAAUCGUCAUUUAGAGUAUCAUAUAUAACAAAUGUGUUCAUUUGUUCGAUUUUAUACAAGCUUAAGUGUCUACUUGUAUAAAUCCAAAAUUAAAUGUUAUAAUUGACCGUUGACGCCAAGUUAAUAGUCAAGUUUAUGUAUUCUUCCUACAUAAUAUAUAGGAAAAAGAACAAAUAUAACUUUGAAUUAUCGUAAAUGAUACGCAGAUAUCCUCCACCAUAUUUUUGGGAAAUUGGUGCCCCUUACAACAUAGGCAUAAUACAUAUAUUAGACCCUAAACUUGACUUCAAAUUUUAACUUUGACCUUCAACUUUCAUAACGCACAAACAAACACUUAAACUAUCCAACUUUUAAAUCAAUAAACACAUGAGUCCUACAUGUCACAAUACACGUACCACGUAUGACAAAAAAUGACAUGUGGGAUGACAUGUAGGACAUGUGUGUUUAUUUGUUCAACUUUAUACAAGUUUAAGUGUCUAUUUGUGCACAUCUAAAGUUGAAGGACAUAAAUGUGAUUUGAAGCCAAGUUAAAGGGCAUAUUUAUGUAUUAUGCCUACAACAUAUAUGCCCUUUACUCUAACAGAAGAUUAAAUAGGGACACGUGACACAACCUUAUUAGUUAAUUCGAUAUUUAAUAAAUAUUGGAUCGAUAGAGAAGAUUAUGACACAUAUAUAUCGAUUAAUAUAAAGGGUAUCUGCCAACUGCAUACCAUAUUUAUUAUAGUUGGAUAUAUAAUACAUAAAUAUACCCUUUAACUUGGGUUUGAUUCACAUUUAAGUCCUUCAACUUUGAGUGUGCACAAAUAAACACUUAAAUUUGUAUAAAGUUAAACAUGUCUUACAUGUCAUUUUUUGUCCAAUGCGUAUUGUGUCAUGUAGACUCAUGUAUUUAUUUAUUUAAAAUGUCUAUUUUGUGCAUUAUAAAAGUUAUAAGCAAAAAAUUAAAAUUUAAACUCAAAUUUAAAAUUCAAUAUAUGUAUUACGCCUUGUGCUUUUUCCUAUUAUAUAUAAACAAAAAUCUUUUACGCGGCGCAAAGUCAUUGCUUUUACACUCCACACCCUAACUGCCUCACCGUUCUAAAUUCACAGAAACCCCGUUAUUCAGCUCCACAAAAUCCUCCUUUUUAACUUCUUAUUUCCUUACUACUUUGAUCUCUCUGAAUUUUCGUUCUUCUUCAAACUUAAUACUCUCUCUCUGUACAAUCAAUAUGGUGAGUCUUCGAUUUUUUCUAUUGUAUUUUUUUUUACUUUCAAAUAAGCAUAAUUACUUUUCUAUUGUGUUGUAUGAUCGUUGUUUUUUUUUUUUGGAUUUUGAUACGUGAUUUAUCUGAUCAGAGAGAAGCUAUUUGGUUGUUCAUCUAAAUUGUGAAUUUUGUAGUUGCUUGCAUUUGCAUUUGCAUGGUGUUUAGUCUGAUUAAUUUGGAUUCGCGCCGCAUAGGGCUUGUUUUGGGAAAACACUCUAUACUGAGUAUUUUCCAUAUGUAGGAUCGAUAUUGAGAUCUCGUUAAGGGAGUAGCAGCAGAGCCAUACGCUGCACCACUUCCUUUAGUGGUGAUUUUUUUAGAAUAUUUUGAGAUUAGCUGUGUGGGAGAUCUUGUAGAAAUUCAGGAUUGAUUCAAUUAUAUAUUGCUUAGUUGAACAUUUUUGAUUCAUUUUCAUCUGGGUUUAGCUGAAAAAGUGAGCUGGUAUAUAAGGUGUUUGAUAAUUUGAUUGAUCUACUGACUUUGUUACACAUCGUUUAAUUCCCCUUUAUGAACAUGGAUUUGUACUCUUUCAAAUUGAGUGGAUUUUUGGACUUAUAAAAAAAGUAAACUAUAUAGUAGGAUUUAUGUCUUUGAGAUGUUGUUCCUGUAGCACCCAAGGGUGUAACUUAGUGGUCAAUGACGUGGGUUGAGCAGCAUGAGGUUUCAGGUUCAACUAGGUGAUUUCUUCCUGUAUGUACAGAGUUAGGUGGCAGGUCCAUCCCAAUACCAUGGUUAUCAAGAAAGCUGAAAAAAAAAUGUUGUUCCAUGUAUAAUGGAACCUAGUUACCCUAGUCUACUCUAUAGUGAAUAGGAUGAUUGAUCUCUGCCUAUUCCUUUAAAACGAUUAUGAGUAUUUUUUAUUUUUUAUUUUUGUUUUAGAGUUUAAUUCAAUCCAGCUAUUACCAGUCUGAAAUAGCAAUGUAGUGUACUGAAAUAUUUAGGAAGAUCACUGUUUUUUAUGAUGUCUUCGCCUGCAUAUUUUCCUUGUAACUAUGGCCCAUGGAGUUCGAGUCAGCUUGUGUCCAUCUCGACUUAUUUCAUAAUUACGUGUUACCUCCCGCCAACACAUGUAUUGGAUAACUCUGCCCUAGGAUUGAACAUAUGAAAAGAAAUCACCUUAUGUUUUUCUCUUCAGCAGAUUUGAACCUGAGACGUCAUGGUUCUUAACCACUCAGCUUUGUUAUGAUGUCUUCACUUGCAUUUGUUGCCAAAACCUUUAUCCCCUCCACUCUCCCUGUCAUCCAUUUUAAAAAGUUUAUCUCAAAAUGAAACAACGGGGUGAGAUAGGUGUUAUUCUGUAUUCUGGAUGGUGUUCAGACAGACAAUUGCUGCUGCAUAGUAAUGCAAUGGCCUGAUAAGUUACGAAUAACCUAGUGAACAUGUCUCCAUCACCAACCAUGAGUUUUGGGAUUCAAAUUACCAUAGGGAAAAGAAGAUAGAAAUAGAGUAGAAUUUGAAUUCUACUGGUUUAGGGGUGUUGAUUGAUCAACUAGAUGCAAUCAAAACUUAUCUUGAAGGUCCAUUCCAUUUAUAUUCUUCAGCUAUUUUUUAAUUGCAUUAUAAUUUUUGAGCUAUAGAUGCUCAUGUGAUCAAUUAUAUGUGGAAGUUUUCUAACAUGAUUGGGGGAUGUGAUUCUUCUUACUAUAGGCUAACGCAGCAUCUGGGAUGGCAGUGCAUGAUGACUGCAAAUUAACGUUCUUGGAGCUGAAAACAAAAAGAACUCACCGAUUUAUUGUUUUUAAGAUAGAAGAGAAGCAAAAGCAAGUUGUGGUUGAAAAAGUUGGUGAGCCAACUCAAAGCUAUGAGGACUUUGCUGAAAGUCUUCCUGCUGAUGAAUGCAGAUAUGCUGUCUACGAUUUUGACUUCGUAACUGAGGAAAAUUGCCAAAAAAGCAGGAUCUUUUUCAUCGCAUGGUAUUCAAAAUGUUCCUAGGCAUUUUAAUGGAUACGAUAGAGUCACACCAAUUUUGUCUCAUUUGUGGUUUUUCUUUGUUAAGGUCCCCUGACACAGCAAGAGUGAGAAGCAAGAUGAUCUAUGCCAGUUCAAAGGACAGAUUCAAGAGAGAGCUUGACGGAAUUCAGAUUGAGUUGCAGGCUACUGAUCCAACUGAAAUGGAACUUGAUGUAAUUAAAAGUCGUGCAAACUAGGUAUGGAUGAUUAGAUACCAGAUAGACCUGUAAAAGGGAGAAUCUUGAUGCAAUCAUCUUAUUUAAACUGUUCAUAGCUUGUGGGACAAAAACUGGCUAUAUCAGUACCAAGCGUUACAUUUUGAUUCUUGAACGAGCUUUAUGGUGGGUGGUCUAAUAUAAGAUGUGUUUAAUUUGAUUAGAAAUCAUUCAUCUGAGUGUUUAAUUUGUUGCUUGAUUCUACGAGCUACUCGUAAGUAUUCUUUGUGAAGGAUCAGACAUGAUAAAAUUAUUUUUGAACUUUGACUGAUAUCUUACCCUAAGAUUUUGGUUCUGGAGUUUGAGGAGAUGUAAAUAACAACUGACGAUUUCGCAUUUGGAGAGUGCUUCCUCAAACUAUGGAUCAUAUUUAUAAGAAUGGUAGCAGUUCAAUGAGAUACUCUAUUCUUUUAUCAAAUAAAAAUUGUAGAAACUAAUUCUUUUUGAUGUCCUUGUAUUGACUUAUUCUUCAGAUUGUUUAAUAUUGCAAAUAGCUUACUUUGGAGCCCCGACUAAUUUUGUAUCUAAGUCAAGUAAUACCAUUUGGGUAACGUUCUAGCAACUAUGCUGAAAGGAACUUUACCAAGCAGCAACUUUAUUCUGCUUACAAUGAUUUGGGCUGAUCUCUAUGUCAAAGGACAUACUAGUUGCUCUCUGUAGCAGGCAAAAAUAGUAUUUUGAGAAGGCUGCAGACAAUGGAGAGGCUGGUCUUAAGAAGAAUGUUCCACUGGUGACUACUAUUAAGGAUUCGUUGGAUAGAAUAUAUUAGAAAAACUAAUAAAUAUAUUAGCUUUGUGUAUUGGUAGUACUUUAAAAUGUUACAUACUCGUAAUAUGCGUUAUAAUAUUACCAGAGGGAGAUGUAUCAAAUACAAUGCCAACCAAUCAUUACUUGUAUUAGAUUGUAUCCAUGAUUGUUUUUUCAAUCUUGUAUGAGUUAAUUAUUUAUCUUUGCUAUGGAGUCUCAUUGUUCAAUACAAGGGUAAAAUAUAGUGAUGCAAUUCAUGAAUAAGAAAAGGGAUGCAGAAUAGAGAAAGAAAUCUAUAUAUAAUAUAAAGCUGAAUAAAAUCAUGUUGAUGUGGCAUGCUUCAUUGAUCAACAUACUGUAUUAUUUUAAUUUUUAGAAUUUUAAUUUUUUUUCUCUCAUUUUUUGUUCAAUAACCUUUAAAAAUAAUUAUCCACUUUCCUAAUUAUUAGCCUUUAGUACAUUUAACUCUUCCUUUCAAAAGGAAAUAUGUAACAUCUAAAUACAUAAUAGUGUAAUUAAUGUGCAUGAUCACACAUCUAAAUACAUAAUAUUCAUACCUUCUUAGACAUUUUCUUUGGAGUUUCAUGUAAGUAUUUUUUUUUCAUAUUUUCUUAUACCUUUUUGGAGGGUUUCAUGUAAUUUUUUUCUCUCUCUCUUUCAUCUUCUUCCUAUUAUUUUAUCCAUCCAUGAUCUUUAUUUUUUAUGUAUAUAUAUUAGCAUCCUUUUAAACAGGAUAAUUAUUAUGAAGCUUUUUAUAUGAAGAGCAAAAGAGGUAAGCUAAGAGUUUAUUUUAUCUAUUCUUGAUUAAUUUUUAAUGUAUGUAUAUAUGUUAAGGAUAUUACCAUGGAGCUUUUUUAUAUAAGCCAAUAGUUUUUUUUAUUAUAAUAAUAAUAAUUAUUAUUAUUUUAUUAUUAUCAUUUUAAUGUACGGCAUGCCUCAUGAUCACAAAAGGUAUUUGUCUAUUUACUUAAGAUCUAUGCAUUUUUCUCUAUUUUUACACAAUUGUAUUAUUAAUAAUUAUUAAUUAAUGAUCAAUUAUACCUUGCUACAAAUAAAAAAUUUCAAAGGCUAUCAUUUUGGCAUUUUAAAAUUAUACUCAUUUCAUUCCUCGUAAUCAAUAUUUACUUUCCCAUAAUUAGUGUGCUUAAUUAUGGAAAAAAUGGUUAUGGAUACAGAAUUUCAAUAAUAAUAAAAAAAGAAAUGCAUCCACUUAAUUGCAACUCUUUGAUGAAAUAGAUAAUGCAACGUUUCAGAAUUUUACUAUCAAAUGAACUACUUCAAAAUUCUAACACAAUUUCUCUAUUUUUCUUUCUGCGCUUAUUUUAUUUUUACCCCUAUUUGUUCAUUUUAUAUCUCUUCCUUUAUUCUCUCUCAAUUUAGUAUUACGAUAUCUUAAUUGUUGUCUUUAUUUUUAUUUACCUCAAUAAAUUUUAAUUUAUAUAUCUUAUGAAGAUAAUACUCUAAUUAGACGUUAAUUAUUUGCAAGUUAUAUAGAUAUUAUCUCUUUAUUGAUUUAUGAGAGGAGUUGAAAUAUGAAGUGUAAGCAGUUGUUUUAUCAUUCUUUUGGUUGGUGUCCAAAUUUUACCAAAAAAAUUAAUACUUUAACUUUUCAACACAAAUAUUUCUAAAAGUUAUAUAGUGACUUAUCAUUAUAAAUUGUACAUAAGGUUUAUAAAUUGUAAUUACGUAAUAAUUAGUUUUUCGUGAAUAAAGAAAAUAUGAUUGUCGUUUAAAUUUCUUAUUGUAGAUCACAUAGAUAUAUGAUGUUACUAAGAAUACGAAGUUACUGACUUUUCGUUAUUGAUUAGAAUUAUUACUCAUCUAACUGGUUCAUUGUAAAUUAAAAUUUUCUUCCAAUGGUCAAUUUACUCUUUUCACUACAAAUUAUAUGAAAAUGUAAUAUUAUCAGCGAUAACAUAUUUAGAAAGAGAAGAUUUAUCAACUAAGCAAGAUAAGCUUCAUUCAAGUGUGAUUUUCUUUUUGCAAAUCAGUAAAUACACUCAUGUUCAUCUCUUUUUGUAUUUUAUUUUUUAUAAAACACAAUAGUGAAAAAAUAAUAUGAGAGAUGGAGCAAUAUUGUGGUGGACGACUAAGAAUUCUAUUUUGAAAUUGCUUACGAAAAUAUUUGUAAAAGUUUCUUAUUUACUUGUAAUUAUUUAUGCAUUGAAGCAAUAAAUGGAUACUAGGUUGUUAUAAUUAGAGAGAAAAAUAAUAAUUAAACAAGCAACUAUAUAAAAUUAAAUAAAUUUAAAUUUGAUACAACUAAAAAUAAAAUGUCCAUUUUAUUCUUUUUGUUUAUAUCACAAAAACUUACAAAUUUUUUUUUUAAUAUUUGACAUUCACCUUUUAUAUGUUUGCGGGAUGAAAUAUUCAUGACCUUCUAAAAUAGAAAAAAUUACAAAAAAUAAAAAUAAGAAAAGUUAUGUAUGUGAAUAUGUAUAUACUCGGAAAAUUUUAUAGUUAUAAUUCAAAUAACAAGUGCAUGAGAGAUAACAAUAUCGUUAAAUAUUUAAAAGAUAAAACAAAAGUUACCAAGUUUAUGUAAAGGUGGAAUUAAAGGAAAUAAUGGUUUGUAAAGUUGUAGAGAUAAAAAAACAAUUGUAAUGAUAAAUUUUGCUAAAUGAAGUAAAAUUUUACCAGAAAUAUUAAACCCGCGCGUAGCGCGAUCAAAUUCACUAGUUGAGUAAUAAGAGAAAUAUAAAAUUUUAAGCAUAGCUAUGUUAGGUAGUAAUAUUUUAAAAUCAUAGUAAUUAUAAUAACGAUUUUUCCUUACAAAAUUUAGGGAAAAGACUCAAAUAUGUCAUUAAAUUUUCAGAAAAGACUUUAUGCCCUCAGUUAAAAGUUUGUCUCAUUUAUGUCAAUACCGUUAAAAAAAACACUCAUUCAUGCCAUUAUUUUUUAACAGUGAUUUUGCAAAAUCAUUGUUAAAAAAUAAUAAUGAGCAUUUUUUUUAACGAUAAUGACAUAAAUAAGCUAAAUUUUUAACCGAUAACAUAAAUGAUCCUUUUUUAAAAGUUCGAUUAACAUAUUUGAGGCUUUUCCCAAAAUUUAAUAUGACUGCGCUUUUACAAAAUUGGAUUGCAACCCUAAAUUCCAAUUUCCAAGAGACCAAGAGGUAAGAAAAAACCGGGUUAAUUAAACCGGAGCUAACAUACUAGACCCGGUCUUAAUAAAACUACCGAAAACUAUAAACCCCAACAUCUCAUCCUUUAAACUUCUUCUUCUUCUUCUUCGCAGGUUUUAGGGCAAAAUGAUAUAGCGGCCGAUUAAAUAGAUCGAAAUCCAGGUAUAUAUCAAUUCCUCUAAUUGUUUCAUAAUUUUGUAUAGCAAUGUUGCUAGUUUUCACAUGUUUUUCUAUUUUUUUGUCCCUUAUUGAUGAUUUUUUUUGUUUAUAAUUGGUAGUUUUAGCAUAUAGAACUCUCUAUACAGGUAUGUGCAUUAACAUGCAAAUAAUGCAGUUGGAUCAGUAAUUUUUGUAUUUUUUUGUGAAUAUUUUGCGGAGUUUGUGAUGUAAAAUUUCAGAUUUGAAGUUGAAUUUUCAUCUUAGUUUAUUAGUAAUAAUGAUCUUUUUCACAUUAUUUCGUUGUUGUUAAUGCUAUUAUUUUUGUAUUCCAUCUUUUAGACGGCUUUGAUAUGCUGUGUUUUAAGCAUAUCCUAAUUUGUUUUGAAAAUGCAUUAUUAUUUACUAGCUUGAACCACAAAUUGAGGCGUAGUUGAUUAUUAAAUAUUGUUCAUAUGGAUAGUUGUGUGAGGAUUGAGAUCGUUUUGUCAUGCAGAUUUUUUUUUCCAGUUUGUAAAAUUGAGAUGGAAAGAAAAUAGUUGUUGUUCUUCUUCUACAUUUGUGUUCUAAACUUGUUAGUUUUCUGUAACUUCGCAAAAUCUGUGGUGCCUUCAGUUUUUUCACCCAGUGAAAGAUUUCAAGGAACUCUUUUAUGUUUUAAAACAAUGAGUGUUGCUGUUUGUUUUUAGCAAAAAAGACUAUAAUUUUUUAUUUUUUUUUGGCUCAUUGUAAAGGAUUAUUUUUAGCAGUUCCUUGACACAUGAUUCAAGUAUUUAAUGGUCAUAUUGUUGUUAUUUGUUGUUGGAAGAUUUUGUCUAAUCUUCUUUCAUCUAACUAGUCAUCUUCAGGUGAAAGGUCUAGCUUUCUAGAUCCUCACAAUGGCGAAUUUUGCCAAACCUGAGAGUGCUUUGAAGCGAGCUGAAGGUUAGUUGUUUCUGUCAUAGUCUUUUUUUUGGGUGGGUGGGUGGGUCAGUGGGGUUGGGGGAUGGAGCGUUUAGUACACUAAGUGUCUUAAAUGUUUUGUAUUAGAAUAGUUACAAGCACAGAUUAUGUCUUUAGGUUUGCUGUAUUGGUAGUAUUGGGCAAUCAAAAGCACUCACUUAUUCUCUUUAAUCAUUCCUGAGCUUAUUCUGAUGUAGAGCUGAUUAAUGUUGGACAAAAGCAAGAAGCCUUGCAAGCACUUCAUGAUCUUAUUACAUCAAGGAGGUAUAGAGCAUGGACAAAGACACAUGAGAGAAUAAUGUUCAAGUAUGUAGAGUUAUGUGUUGACAUGAGAAGGGGGAGGUUUGCCAAGGAUGGCCUAAUUCAAUAUCGUAGUGUCUGUCAACAAGUGAACAUUAGUUCACUGGAGGAGGUGAUAAAGCAUUUUAUGCAUUUAGCCACUGAGCGAGCUGAACUGGCUCGCAGUCAAGCACAGGUCUUAGAGGAAGCUCUGAAUGUGGAAGACUUAGAAGCUGAUAAAAGACCUGAAGAUCUAAUGCUGAGUUAUGUUAGUGGGGAGAAAGGUAAAGAGAGAUCUGAUCGUGAACUGGUCACACCCUGGUUUAAGUUCUUGUGGGAGACAUAUAGAACUGUUCUAGAGAUCUUGCGCAAUAAUUCAAAGUUAGAGGCUCUGUAUGCUGUAAGUACCCCUACCCCUCUCCAUUUCUUUCUUUCUUUAUUUGUUAUUCUCCUUUUCUUCUAGUAUUUUGGAGUCAAACUCAUACCGUGUUUAUGUCGGCACAUGAGGGAUUUGGUUAUCCUAACUUUUCAGUAUCUUGUUUAGAUAGUAAGUUACUGAGCAAGUUGUUUCAAUGCCAUUAAAAACCAUCGUAUUGUCGCUUAAAGUGAUAAAUUGAUACAAAGUGAGGCGCUUCAUGGAAGUAUGUGUUCAAACAAUAAUGACGAUUUGAAUCUCAACUCAAGAGUUGGAUAACUAUUGCACUGUUGUACAUUGGAUGUUGAGAUUAAUUGUUUUGAUCGCAAUUUGAUUAUUAAUGGUGCUAAAUUCAUACAUGUGAUAUAAUUUUCUCUAAACUGUGCGCUUCACUUUUUUGCUUGUAUUUUUCGUAUCAAACACCAUGGACCUUGUUUCUGUUAGAAUUAGUAGGUUGAUUAUCCUCUUUCUUUUUCUUGCUUGCUUUUGAGUCUUUUUUUUUUUGAAACAGGAUUUUUGAGUCAGUAGUCUGCAUGCACUAUGAUUUUACUUGCUUCUACUACUGAUUGCAUUUAUUUAUCUUGAUGUGCUGGGCUUCUAUCUGACAACAUAAAUUGUUUAAUCAGAAAGCUGUUUUUCUGGUAUUAUUGUGCUUCUUGCUUAAAAUCAUAGGGUGGGAUCUUGUUUGCAACUUAAAAGUUACAGCUAAAUCCGGUUUGUCCUGUGUGCCAUUUGAGCUUGCUGCAUCGUUGUUGAGUGUUGACAAUAAUUCUAUAUCUGUACCAAGUGGAUUUUAUGAAUAUAUUUUGUUGGUGCGACAAAUGAAAUUGAAUUAAGCUCUCUUGAUAUGCUCAGAUGACGGCGCACCGUGCCUUUCAGUUUUGUAAGCAGUACAAACGUACAACAGAGUUACGUCGACUCUGUGAAAUCAUACGGAAUCAUCUGGCAAAUCUUAACAAGUUUAGAGACCAGAGGGACCGUCCGGAUCUGUCCGCUCCAGAAAGCCUACAGUUGUAUCUGGACACAAGAAUUGAGCAACUCAAAGUUUCAACAGAACUUGGACUUUGGCAGGUGUCUAUUAGUUUCUCUGAUAUCAUAUACAAUAUUUAGAUAGGGGAGGCGUAGAAUUUUCAUACACUUGCAACGGCCUUUUGAGAUUGCUUUGAGGUGCAUGAAUUUGUUUGUCACUUUUUUAUUUGGACAUUACGCAGGAAGCCUUUCGUUCUAUUGAAGACAUAUAUGGAUUGAUGUGCAUGGUCAAGAAAAUUCCUAAACCAUCACUGAUGGUUGUGUACUAUGGCAAGCUAACAGAAAUAUUCUGGAUGUCAUCAAAUCAUCUUUAUCAUGCUUAUGCAUGGCUCAAACUCUUUUCUCUUCAGAAAAGUUUUAAUAAGAACUUAAGCCAGAAGGAUUUGCAGUUAAUAGCAUCAUCUGUUGUUCUAGCUGCACUGUCUGUGUCUCCUUAUGAUAAGUUAUAUGGUGCAUCCCAUCUGGAGCUUGAAAAUGAGAAGGAGAGGAGUUUGAGGUUGGCCAAUCUCAUUGGCUUUGAUGUUGAAGCCAGAUCAGAGAAGAAAGAAGUGGUAAUUUUUUAAAUUUUAUAAAUAGGGAAGCAGUAGAUCAAUGUUGGUUUCUUAUAAAACAUUUGUCUUGAUUUUACUUUCUCACCUUCAUUUCCUUUCUGCUUUCUCAUUUCAGCUUUCCAGGUCGUCAAUACUCUUGGAAUUGGUAAGCCAAUCCCCAAAUAAAUUCUUUUCUUUUCUUGCACAUUGGUGUCUUUUUGAAUUUAAUAUAUAGAACGAUAGGUGUGGUGUUAAAUUACUGUGUAUUUGUACAGAUGAGGCUCGUGUUGUACUGUUAGAUUGAUCUUCCAUUUUUAAUUAUUUAAUUGUCUUGCAGUUCCGGUUGUUUUUUCUUAAUUUCUUUUCACGGAUAUAGGUGUCCAGAGGUGUGAUGGCCUGUGUUACUCAAGAAGUAAAAGAUCUUUAUAAUCUGUUGGAACAUGAGUUCCUUCCUUUGGAUCUGGCACUGAAAGUGCAACCCUUAUUGAAAAAAAUCUCAAAGCUUGGGGGUAAGCUAUCUUCAGCUGCUUCAGUUCCUGAAGUGCAACUGUCCCACUAUGUUCCAGCUUUGGAAAAGCUUGCAACUCUGAGGUUGCUCCAGCAGGUUCUCGCGUUUAACUUUAGAGUCCUUUGUUAUUUGACAUUUUUUUGCUACUCUGAGGUUGCUCCAACAGGUUCUCGGGUUUAACUUUAUAGUCUUUGUUAUUUGGCAUUUUAUCUUACAUUUUAACUAACUUAGAGUGUGGUUAUUUUGCUUCUUUUUAUGUUUGCAGGUAUCUCAGGUGUACCAGACAAUCCAGAUUGGUAAUCUGUCUAAGAUGAUUCCAUUCUUUGAUUUUGCUGCUAUUGAGAAGAUUUCUGUUGAUGCUGUUAGACAUAAUUUUGUAGCCAUUAAAGUUGAUCACCUUAAUGGUUCUGUCUUAUUCGGUAAACAGGUACAAUUGUAUUCACCGGAUGUUCCUCUUCUCUAUGCUCCUAAGUUGGUUGUGAGAUAUCCUGUCCGCCUUACCAUUAUUUGUGCUGAGCUACAUGAUUUCUUUUCCCUAUUUGAAUAAAACCAUUUACUUAGUUCACUACUUUUAUUUUCUUGUUUUGUUUUCUAACAGUUCUGGUAGGUUAUAUCUUCUACUUCUUGCUACACAUGAACAAAAAAACUUGGGAGAAAGUAAUGGUACAUCUAGGGAUCAAAUGUAUGGGCUUUAUCUUAAGUUUUUGCUAUGUAAAUGAGUGGGUGUCUGUAAGUGUCCGUCAAACGCUAAAGCUAGCACCACAAGUACAUAUCUUGCUUGCUAGAUUGAAUAUGGGCCGAAUGGUGUAGGAUAGUUCUUGGAAGUUGUUUGACUUUUGAUGUAGAGUUUUUACAGCAUAGCACUUUGUGCUGCUUCUGGAUUUUGGGACAUGGGGAUGUGCGUCAAGUGAGAAGUUCCUUCUGUUCUUUGUUAAGUUUAGCCUUGUACCUCUGUGGUUUAAUACAUUGAACAAGUGUUGCAGAACAUUUCUGUGUGUGUUUCCUAAAUGCUUAUGUGAAAAGAUUUGGGUAAUCCCAAUAAAGUUUUGUAUACUUUUCUUGGUGCAUCUUCUUCGCAUAUAUACUGUCAUGCCUAGCAGCUUUAUUUUGGAAUUGUAGGGGGUGGAGGGCCAGACCUAGCCUUUACCUCUUUCAUUUUAACCGUAUUUAUUUUUUUAAAUUCGGGAUUGAUUCUCUUCUCCUCUCCUUUGCCUUCCGUGGACAUAGAAAAAUUAGAAUAAUUUGUUGCAUUUCCAUUUUUAUAUUUGUUUCUAGAGUAUUGAGGCUGAAGGACUCCGGGAUCAUUUGUCACUUUUUGCUGAAUCCCUUUGCAACGCAAGGUUAAUGAUCUAUCCCCCUGCGAAGAAAGUUGCCAAGCUUGGGGAUGCCCUCUCUAAUUUGGCGGAGAUAGUGGAGAAGGAGCAUAAGAGACUCCUGGCACGGAAGUCCAUAAUUGAGAAGCGCAAAGAAGAGCAAGAGCGCUUACUCUUGGAAAAGGUAUUCCCUUUUUGAGGGUGUUGGAGUUUCAUGCUAUCAUUGUUUUCUUGGUUGAUGAAUUUCUGUUGACAUUUCUUGAAGGAACGAGUGGAAGAGUCAAAGAGGCGAGAACAUCAGAAGAUGACAGAAGAGGCCGAGCAAAAAAGGGUUUCUGCUGAGCUAGAGCAAAGAAGGAACCAAAGGAUUCUGAAAGAGAUAGAGGACAGAGAACUCGAAGAGGCCCAAGCAAUGCUGCAAGAAGCUGAAAAGCGCAGCAAGAGGAAGAAGAAACCAGUCUUAGAUGGAGUACAUACAAAAUUUGGACCUUUUUUGGUUUAUUUAUUCAGAUCUCUAUAGAAAUUCUUACUAAUGUUAACCUAAGUGCAGGAAAAGAUGACCAAAAAGGAUAUCAUGGAGUUGGCAUUACAUGAGCAACUCAGGGAGAGGCAGGAAAUGGAGAAAAAAUGGCAGAAGUUUGCCAAAGUAAUGGAUUAUUUGGAGAGAGCGAAGAGAGAAGAAGCAGCGCCUCUUAUUGAAUCUGCAUUUCAACGGCAUUUAGCUGAAGAGGCUACUCUUCAUGAACGUGAGCAGCAGGUAUGCAUAGAAUUAGCAUUUGUUUUGCCUAACCACCAUUAACAACCUAUUGUUUGACAUUUUCCUUGAAUUCUUUCUGAAGGAACUAAAUUUUGGUAUUUCUUUUUGGUCAAAUGUUGUUGAUUAAUGGAUCUGGAUUUACAACAAUCUUGCAGCAAGAAAUUGAAUUGAGCAGACAACGACAUGGUGGGGACCUUGUAGAGAAGAGUAGGCUGGGCCGCAUGUUGGAGAAUAAGGUCUCUUAAUCUUAAUUUUUUUUAUUUGGUUGCAUUAUGUAUUUGUGUCUUAGGACUAUGUAUUUGAGCUUAUGGUUGUAAAGGGGCACUGCCUUUGAUAUUUGCUUCAACUAACUGAAUUCUGUUAUGCCACUGGCCUUUGGGAACCAAAGCUCACGGUUGUUGUUGGAAAAAGGUCUUUUGACAUAUUUUACACUUUGAAUAUGCUAGCGUUACACCAUCAGCUGAUAUAGGCACUGAUUUUGCAGAGAAUAUUCCAAGAAAGAGUUGUUAGCUGCAGGGAAGCCAAACUCAAUAGCAAGAAACAGGAGAGACAAGAACAAAUAAACCGGAUAAUUCAGACAAGGAAACAGGACAGGGACACUAGGAGGAAGCUGCUAUUCUUUCUGCGAAAAGAGGAAGAACAACAGAAGAGGUUGCAGGAAGAGGAGGAUGCGCGGAAACAUGAAGGUAUCCUUCUGGUUAAAGAUGCAUUUUACGCACUGCAUUUCGAUUUUCAAUGAAGUGCGUUUCACCAAGACGUUUAUGCUUCUGAUAACAUUUUAGCAGAGCAUCAUUUAAUUGUCGUUGCUUAUUUAAACCUGACCUUUUCGAGGUUAUGCAUACCGUCUGUAAUGUACUCUCACCUUCGCAAGUCCUUUCAUGCAUGCGUCGUUGUCUGGUUUAUAAUCCUCAAGUGUUUAGGAGCUACACUGACCCCUCUCAAGUUCUUUUUAUCCUUCACCAAUCUACCCUUUUUCUUUUGGGGUUGUGGUUUUGAGUUGUCAUUUAUUGUCCAUUUAGAAUCCUAUGACAAUGCAUUGAGAAUUUUGCAGAGGCAGAGAAGCGAAAAAGAGAGGAAGCUGAUCGGAAGUCCAAGUUAGAUGCUAUUGCAGAAAAGCAGAGGCAACGAGAGCUAGAACUUGAAGAGAAGAAAAGGCUGGAGAGAGAGGUGGUCUUGGGGAAAUCCAUGCCUAUGUCACUUGAGCCUUCAACUAUAGGUCGUCCCUCAGAAGCUGGAGCAACUGCACCUGCAGCAACAGCAGCUGCACCUACUCCCGGUAAGUUUGUGCCCAGGUUCAGAAGAGAGAAAAUUGACGUAGCAGGCCAGUCUCCACCUCCCGAGACUGAUCGGUGGAGCAGUGGUGGCAGGCGUGAUGAACGAAACUCGUUUGGUGGUGGUUCAAGGACCAGUUGGUCAUCCUCUAGGCGCAACUAAUUGCAGUGAAUCAGAGGCAGUAAAUCAAGCCGUUUGCAUAGUCGGGACACUUUUUUUACAAAAUUUCAAUUUUGGCUGUUAGUUAUUGAAAACUUCUCUUUGUGUAUCGGAAACAACCUCUCUGUCUUCUCAAGUUAGGGGAAGAGGUUUACGUACACCAACCUGUGGAAUUACACUAAUUUAGUCAUUGAAAUAUUUGUUUUUUGGAAAAUUUUCAAAAUAACAAUCUUUUAGUUUUUAGUGUGACUUCUUAUUCAUAGUUUCAUUAUUUAUUAAAAAUGUCAUUAUUUUAGUUUGUUAAAGAAUUAAUUAUGUAUUUAUUAUUAUUCUGAAAAGAAUAUAAAUAAUUAGUUACAGAACAUAGAAAAUUAUGGAACAAAAAAAUUAAAAAAAGAUUUUAAUUUAAUAUAAUACAAUUAAUUAAUAACAAAAUAGAGAAGAUCAAGGAAAAUAAUAUUUCAAAUAAACUAAUUUUUGAAUUUAGACCAACAAAGUUACGUUACCAUAAUUAUUAACUUUCCUAUUAUACGUGUUUGGUUCCACAAUCGACAUGAUUUUUUUCCCUCUUAUUCCUCAAAUUUACAAUACUAAUUUUUAACACUUCAUUGAAAAUACUAAAUCUAUGUAGAAUUGAAGUCGAUUGAUUUAAGAUUUUUGCGAACAGUGAAGAAGAUUUUACAAUGAAAAAAAUAAAAAAUAAAUACAAAAUUUGUUGGCAAACAAAGUGAGCAUAAAAAAUCUAAAACUUGUUAACAUACAUUUAAAAUUGUUAUAGAAUAAGAGUCUGUUUGGAUGAGCUUAAAAGUUGGUCAAACUGACUAGUUUUUGACUUAUUAGAGCGUUUGACAAUUAUCAAAGUGACUUAAGGCAUUCUUGAAAUAUCUAAGGUGUGUUUUAGAAUUCUCCGCAAGGCUCUCCUUAAUUCUAGAGUCUUUUAUGCCUAUCCGAAUGCCAAAUUUAACUAGAAUAGCUGCGAGACAUGACAAUAAACACAAAAAUUAACGAAAGUCACUAAAUUAUAUGCCUAUUUGGAGUAUUAUGGUAAACUUUUUGUUAGAUAUUAUAAUACCUUAAUUACAAAUCAGAGCUAUAACUAAGCACUAUAUAUGGAAAUCAAUCUGAGAAUAACUUCUAAAAAAAGUAAUUUUCGUGUGAUAACUUUACAAAGUUGAAUAAUCGGAAUGGACUUUACAUUAUAUGUAUUUGCAAUUUCUUAUUCGAAAAAUGGUCAAAAUUGCCCCUGAACUAUACGAAAUAGACCACUUAUACCCUCCAUUACAUUAUGAGAUUAAAAAUACCCAUGCUGUUAUCUUAGAAGACCACAAAUACCCUCAAGAGUUAACACCCCAAUUUUUUAGUGAUGUGGCAUGCCACAUGGAACUAAUCCCUCUACCUAAGUGUUGCCAACUAAGAUUCACUACAAAAGAACUUGAUCUUUAGGGGCAAUAGAGUUGCCACAAAAUCUCAAAAUAUUGUCAUUAAAGGUUAUGAGUGAUUUUUAGUGACAACUAAUAGUAAAACCUAACCUUGAGGGGUAGCUCGGCUGGUAAAGGCCUGAGGACAAAGUCUUUUAGGUCGCCAGUUCGAGCCCCCAGCAGGGCCACUAGACGCAUUACAAAUCGGACGCGUCUCCAGAGCCCCGUGAAACUAAUCGUGGUGCACCCGCCUUGAAACAGCGAGACCAGGUGAGUACAACUAGUCGGAUUCGCAAAGCGAUACCCGAAAACCACAAUAAAAAAAAACUAAUAGUAAAACCUAUUUUUUCAACAAAAAAAUAUAAUAAUUAAUUUUCGAUUGCAACUUAAUUUUCUAAUAAAUAACUUGCAAUAUCAAUAUUAAAAGCACCCAAUCUUAUUACGAAAAAUCAUGAAAAUUACUUCUCAAUUCACAUCUCCUACUUAUAAUGCAUCAUUGUACAUUUUAUACAUUUACAUAUAGCAUAAAAAUAAAACAUACGGUGUCUUUAAACUCCUACUUAAUCGAUAUCAUUUUUGUUUUUUGUAAAACAAUGAAGAAAAAACACUAAAUCAGAAUUUAAUGUUAAAAAGUUUUUGUGACGAUUUUUUGGGCUUUUGUGGCGACUAUUAUCGCUGCUAAAGGUCUAGUUCUUGUAGUGAAUCCUAGUUGACAAUGCUUAGGUGGAAGAAUUAGUCCCACGUGGCUUACCAAAGUCAAUAAAAAUAUGAAUAUUUACUCUUGAGGGCAUAUGUGAUCUCUUAAGGAUAACAACAAACACAUUUUUGAUUCCAAAAUAUAAGGAAGGGUAUAAGUGAUCUAUUUCACAUAGUUUAAGGGCAAUUUUGACCCUUUUCGUUUCUUAUUUUAUCUUGUCAAUGUUUUUUUUUUUAAAAACUUCAUGGUAACCUGCUAUUGCUAUAAAUCACAUUAUACAAAUCAUAUACGGCAUAUUCGAUUGAAAAGAUAUGAUACCUAUGUUUUUAUAAUUAGACUUAUUUAAUAUUAUUUUAUAAAAUAAUCUAUUUAUGUCAAUAAUUCGUUGAAUAAAACUUUUAACUCAUAAAUCUAUACCAUAUCAUUCUUCUGCCACGUUUACAAUUUUAACCAAAAAAAUAGUUGUUAUUUAUUGUUGCAUUGAACUUUGCUAUCAAACAAAAUUCCUUAUAAUUAGCUUUGAUACUUACAAGCAAGAAUAAUGCCUUCUCCACAUUUAGAGGCAAAUAUCUCUCAUUGUAUAACAACCUCUCAUCAGUUCUUCUAAUUCUUUUGGGAUCUUAUGAUGGCCCUUCAUCACUUUGAUGGGACAUUUGAUGCUUUAAGUUGACAUUAAUUAGCUUGCUUCCCUUGUAAUAUCUUAUUUAAAAUGAUUAGUAGCAAUUUUACUCCCUCAGUUAUUACUAAAUUUUAAUUUUUAUAUUUGUGAAAUUUAAUAUGAUAUUUUUUUAAUUUAUCAAGGAUAUGAUCUUAAAUAAGAGGGCACAAAAGGGUGAGCAUUACGAAUACAAGGUUAAUCUGUGUUUGAGUAUUAUCUAGUUUUUCCUAUUAUUAUUUUUUUCAAUUUUAUUAUACUUGUUCUUUUUUGUUUCUCUCCUUUUAUCUUUUGUUUUCAACUUUCUAUACUUACGACGUUUGAUAUGUUUUACUUGAACGAAUAUUUCUCUACCUUUAUAAGAUGUAGAAGUAAUACUAUACACGCCAUCUUCUACCGACCCUAUGUGAAAUUAAAAUUUAUUAUCAUUAUCGUAAACUCAACCUUUAAUUAGUUGAAAUAUGCACUAUUAAUCCCUUUAAUUGUGCAAAUUAACAAAUUAUUAAUCGUUCCGUCAUUUAUUUAUCAAUUUAUUACUUUAAGCUUGUAUAGUUGAUGAUUCUAAAAAUAGUUUAAACAUAAUAAAUUUCUAACCUAAAGUGAUAAAACACAGAUUUUAAUUAGUUGAAAUUUAAACAUGAUGCUCUUUAUUUCAAAAUAAAUGAGUUUUUGAAAUGUAACACACUCUUUAAGAAAGUUAGUUAGCAAUAUUAAUUAAUCCAAAUUCAAAUUUAUCUUCUCUUCUCCCACCUCGCCCUAUCAAGAAUGUCAAUCAUGUUUCCACUUAUCUCUCAAACCCUCAACCUACGAGGUGAUGGUGGAGGUGUUCGACCUCUUGAUUCGAGCUUACAUGUCAAAUUUAAAUUUAUCUUCUUUCUCUACCCAACAUUAUCAGAAAUAUAAAUAAUAUUCUUAUGAAAAAAUAUACAACUAUCCCCUCAACCUAUCGUCGAAAUCCCAGAGACACACUUAUAGUUCCUAUUAUCUCCUGAUCAGGGUUAAUAGGAACUUAAUAUAUUAUAAGUGUGUCUCUGGAAUUUCGACGAUAGGUUGAGGGGAACUUAUAAUAUAUUAAGUUCCUAUUAACCCUCAUCAGGAGUAAUAGGAUCUUAAUAUAGUAUAAGUGUGUCUCUAAAAUUUAGGACAUAAAUUGAAAUGGUACUUGUGCAUUAUCUCUAUUUUUAUUUAUCUUUUUACGCAAAUCUAUAACAAUGGUAGAGCUAUUUAACCACUUGAUGGAGGCUAGUCAAAAUCCAAAUUUAUUCAAAUGGAAAGUGUCAAAAAUACUAUUAUCCCUAUUUGAUUCUUUAUUGCAAGUCAACUGCUACCUCUCCAUUUAAUUAUAUAUAUACAUUCAUGUACAUGUUUUUGCAUAUGAACAAAUUCAUCACUAUGGAGUCCUCCACACUAGAAGAAAACAAUCCUCAAUCUCAAGCACCUAAGCUAAAUUUCAUUUUGAAAUUGAAGGAAAAUUUGGUAUUCAAAUCAAAAUGGGCUGAAUUGAAUGGUGCAAUGGGUGAUUUAGGCACAUACAUACCAAUUGUCUUAGCUUUAACCCUAGCCAGUCACUUAAAUCUAGGGACAACACUAAUUUUCACUGGUGUAUACAAUUUUGUAACUGGUGCUAUCUAUGGUGUACCAAUGCCUGUUCAGCCAAUGAAAUCAAUUGCAGCUGUAGCUAUCAGUAACCCGGAUUUCGGCAUACCUGAAGUUAUGGCUGCCGGAAUUUGCACCGCCGGGAUCUUGUUCGUAUUAGGCGUAACCGGAUUGAUGCAGAUCGUGUAUAGAUUGAUUCCAAUUUCAGUUGUUAGAGGAAUUCAACUUGCACAAGGUUUGUCGUUCGCAAUGACAGCAGUUAAGUAUAUUAAAAAUGUACAGGAUUUCGCAAAAUCAAAAUCUGGAGGGCAGAGGGAUUGGGUAGGGUUAGAUGGAUUGUUGUUAGCUUUAAUUUGUGCUGUUUUUAUUGUGAUUGUUAAUGGUGCUGGUGAUGAUGAUGAUGAUGAUCGCGUCGAUAAUCCUGAAUCAGGAUGCAGGGAAAAAGUUCAUAAAAUCAUAUUUUCACUUCCAUCAGCUUUUCUUAUAUUUUUGUUAGGGGUUGUUUUGGCUAUUAUAAGAGGGCCUAAUGCAAUAAAAGGGUUUAAAUUUGGUCCAUCGAGAAUUGAUGUAAUGAGUAUAUCAAAACAUGCUUGGAAGCAAGGGUUUAUUAAAGGGACUAUACCUCAACUACCUUUAUCUGUACUUAACUCUGUGAUUGCAGUGUGUAAACUGUCAACAGAUUUGUUUCCAGAGAGGGAAGUCACAGCUACCUCGGUGUCGAUGACGGUGGGGUUGAUGAAUCUAAUAGGUUGUUGGUUUGGUGCAAUGCCAUGUUGUCAUGGUGCAGGUGGGUUAGCAGGGCAAUACAAGUUUGGUGGUAGGAGUGGUGGGUGUGUGGCACUUCUUGGUGUGGCUAAGUUGGUUUUGGGGUUGGUUUUAGGGAGUUCAAUGGUGAAAGUUUUGACACAAUUUCCUGUUGGGGUUUUAGGGGUUCUGUUGUUGUUUGCUGGGAUUGAAUUGGCCAUGUGUGCAAGAGAUAUGAACACUAAAGAAGAGGCAUUUGUGGUGCUUGUUUGCACAUCAGUUUCAUUAGUUGGGUCAAGUGCUGCAUUGGGUUUUUUGUGUGGUAUUGUGGUUCAUUUGCUACUUAAGAUGAGGAAUAUGGGUAGUAAUGGUCAAUCUUGUUCUAAUGUAAUUUGGUUUCAUAGAAACCCAUAAGCAAAACUUGCAUGUUUAGUGUGUUGGUGAUCUUCUUCUUGUAUUGUUGUUGUUUGUUUGGAUAACAAUGGUAUUCCGAUCAUUUUCACUUUAACUUCCAACUUUCAUAAUGCACAAACAAGCACUUUAACUAUCCAAUUUUUAAAUAAAUAAACACAUGAGUCCUACAUGGUACAAUACACGUAGGACACCAUGUAGGACAAAAGGUGACAUGUAGGACAUGUGUGUUUAUUUGAUCGACUUUAUACAAGUUUAAGUGUCUAUUUGUGCACUUCCAAAGUUGAAGGGCACAAAUAUAAUUUGAAACCAAAUUAAAGGGCACAUUUAUGUAUUAUGCCUAAUUUCUAUGAAGUGUUUAUAACAUAUAAAUUUACAAUAAUUUGUUAGAAAUGCUAACAUCUUAAAAUUUACUAAUUUAAAACCACUAACUAUAUUUUAACUUUCAAAUAAUUAAAGAAGCUACAUAUUUAACCUUUUCGUGAAAAGAAUUAAUCAAUAAUCUUUAUUAGAAAAAUGUUCAAAUGAUCUUCAUUCAAACUUAUAUAAAUUCUAUUAGUUCAAGAGUUAAUUAUUUACGAAUAAUUUUAUUAGUUUAAGAGUUGAUUGUUUACAAAUACUUUAAUUUGUAAUAUUAGGCAUUUUAUCAAAUUUUGGUUUAUCCAAAUACAUUCAAAUACGUUUAGAUACAUAUGAUCAAAAGUAGGUGUAAUUUAUUCAAGAUACACAUUAUCUAAGUGAAUCUACAUGUAACUGAAACACGUAAUAAAUCUCACUUGUCUGUCUCUCAUUUCGUUCACCAAUCUUCUAUGUAUAUGACAUCUCAUAUAUAUAUGAGUCACACUAAAUACAUAUGAAUACAUGUUCAUAACGUAUAUCUAGUGUAAUUAGCAUAUAUCUAAUAUAUAUGUAUAAUAAAUAAAUCUCUCUAGUAUUUCGCUCCAUCCCCCUCGCCUCUCUCCCUAUUUUAAUAUAUCUAAUAAUAAAAUAUUUUAUAUAUAUAUAAUAGGAAAGUCUUAAUUAAUAAUAAAAUCCGUAAUAUUUUUAAAAAUAGUUUGUAAAUUUAUGACUGAUUAUUUGAAUUGCUAUUCAGAAAAUUUGACAUAUGUCCUCUCGCAAAACUAAGCCGCACACAUGAAGAUAUAAAUUUAUUUUUGUUUUAUUUUUACUAUUAUAGCCUUAUUUGUAAACCAGCCGUUAUCCUCCUCGCCAUUUUCUGUUUUAACAGCUUCUCCUCCCCUGUUCUGAUCACUCCAUUUUUCUCUUUCUCUCAAUUUUUGCAUUUUUCGAUCUCUCUACAGAUCCGACGUACGUAUUGGAUCCGGGCCGUCCGAACCGAUAGAAUGGCGGCAUCACGUCGUCUCCGGGAUCUCCAAGCACAAACCGGUAACAAGGUCUGUGUCGAUUGUUCUCAGAAGAAUCCACAAUGGGCCUCUGUUUCCUAUGGAGUUUUCAUGUGUUUGGAAUGCUCCGGAAAACACCGUGGGCUAGGUGUUCACAUUUCAUUCGUCCGAUCCGUUACCAUGGACUCAUGGUCCGAGAUCCAGCUCCGGAAAAUGGAGUUAGGAGGUAAUGAGAAGUUGAACAAAUUCAUGAGUCAAUAUGGAAUCCCUAAAGAAACUGAUAUUGUGACCAAAUACAAUACGAAAUCUGCUUCUGUUUACCGUGAUAGGAUUCAAAAUCUGGCUGAGGGAAAACCUUGGCAGGAUCCACCUGUUGUGAAGGAAUCUGUAAAAGGUCCUAAUAGCAGCAGUAGCAGACCUCCGUUGAGUGGAAGUAGAAUUGGAAAUUCAGGUGGAAAUUCUGGUUGGGAUAAUUGGGAUAGUUUUGAUGAAGGUGGCGAUAGUAACAGUAGCAUGAGGAGAAAUCAGACGGUGGGUGAUUUUAGGAGUGGUGGAGGUAGUGAUGGUGGGCCUGCUAGGUCGAGGUCUACAGAUGAUGUUACAAUGGCGCAGUAUGAGGCGUCCGCUGCGAAUAAAGAUAAUUUUUUUGCUAGGAAAAUGGCUGAGAAUGACUCCCGGCCGGAGGGCCUUCCGCCCUCUCAGGGAGGGAAGUAUGUUGGAUUUGGAUCAAGUUCUGGCUCAAUGCCUAGGAAUAAUAAUAACAAUUCGCAAGGCGAUGUCUUUUCUGCUGUUACUCAGGUAUAAAGGUUGAGCUAAUCAUGUCUCUAUGGGGCUUAUGGUGUUUUAUGUUUAUCUAUGUGGAUUUAACUCACAUCAAAAGUAAUUUGUGUUUGCAGUAUCAGUAUAGUUUCAGUGUUUCACCUGUUUAGCCUGUUACUUAUCUUAUGUUCUCGGUCAUGCAGUUGUGCUUAAUGUAGGGAAUUAUCCAUCAUUGGUUUAUAACUGACUGAUACUGUAGAAAAUGAACCUUUCAGUAUAUAAGAGUCAAAAAUCAUUUACGUAUAGCUGAUGAGGUUGCUUCUUUAUGUGUGCAGGGAUUUGGUAGAUUAUCUAUGAUGGCAGCCUCAGCGGCACAGUCUGCUGCAACUGUUGUUCAAGCAGGGACAAAAGAGAUUGGCUCUAAGGUACUUUGAAUUGAUUGUUAUACCUAAUUGAAGGUCUAAGUGAUCCUAUGAUUUUUUGGAGAUGCCUUCUGAGCUAAUAAGUGAAUCGGCAAAUUGCAUUACAAACUUCUCUUUGUUGUAAAAUGCCAAGUCCUAAGUAAUGUGCUACUGAGCAUUAUGUUUUGCGAUAAUGGAUGGCCAUUUGAAGUUUAAUCUUUGAAUUAUUUACUAUCACAUUUGCAUUAUCAGCAACCAAUAUCUUUUGCUAAGGGGUUGGAACUUCCACAUGAUUCACACUCACACAUACACACGCACAUGUAAUUUUGGAAUAUUUUCCGGUCGACCACUAUUUUGUAUCUUGAACUUUUAUUUAAUAAUUUGUUUAUUUUGUGAGUGUACCAACCUAAUUCUUGUGAUGUAUCUAACUUAUAUGCUUGACAUGCAUCUAGCAUGAAUGCGGGAUGCUUCAUGAAUCAGUCUGCGCCCCAUUUCUUUUAAUAUCAGAGAAUUGAAAAGUGACAUUAGAUCUUUUUCUUUUUGGACCAAAUGUUGAGAUUGGAUUAUCAGUGUAACUCUUGAAUGAUGUUGCAUGCAAAAUCCCCUUCAACUAAAUAUUAAGACAUGUUUCACUAAGACUGACGUCCUAAGUUUGAAUAUGGUAUAAGAUUGCAAUAGGUAUUUCGUUUUUGUAUAUAGAUAGCCUUAUAUAUCUAUUUUCUGUGGGAUCUUAUAAAUUCGAAUCCUGAUAUAUUAGUAACCUUUCAUAUGGACAUGCACAGGGUCGGACCACAUAAUGCUCCGGUUCAAUUCAAAUUUUGGUUUAGUAAAUGGGAGAAAUGGUUGAUGCUCUUCCUAAAACUUAUAGCCUAUGAGUCUAGUUUUCAUGAGAUCAGACAGAAUUUGAAUAAUUAUUAGAAAGAGAUAGGAUAGAUUGAGUGAAACAUGCUCAUGCUGUGUUUUACAUUGAUUUUGUGAGCUUUACUGACUUUAAAGCUUCAUAGAACACUUCAAAAUGUGUUAAAGAGGGUAAACCCCUUACAUGUACUAAGCCAGAGAAAUUUUGGUUUAAUAGCUAUUUGAUAUCUUCUCAAACUUCUUUAGUCUUAACCUCUUGAGACACCCCAAGACCAUACAAAUUUAUAAGAUGUUUUGGUAUCUUAUACUUUAUAUGUUUCAAUUAUUUCAUAUUAUGAGUUGGAGUUGUAAAAGAAAAAAGUUUCAGGUUAGUUUGUAUUUGAUCCUUCUCCAAUCACUUAAAAGUUGUAGUGAUUAUUCAAUUCUCCUAAUGAUGAGAAUUUCUGUCAAACGUAUAAUAUUCAAUUUACUGGUCGUGUAUACUUCAAUCGAGUAGGAGUCUCAUCCCCUCUCUUUCAAAGUACUGUUAGUUGUGUAUUUUUCCGGUCUUCAUUUAAGUUUUUUUUCAUAUAGCCUGUAUUCUCAACGCUAUUGUUUUCCAAGUUCUUUUGAGCAAAGAGGCUGGAAUUUAUGAAUGUUCAGUAAGAUGCUUGUGUAAUCCAACUCUUACAGGUGGCAGAGGGUGGUUAUGAUUACAAGAUGAAUGAAACAGUCAAUGUUGUCGCAACAAAAACAACUGAGAUUGGACAGAAGGGCUGGGGUAUAAUGAAGGGGGUCUUAGCUUUAGCUUCACAGAAGGUUGAGGAAUUUGCUGAGGGUCCAAACCCGAGGGACGAUAGCUGGCAACGAAGUGAAAAUGAACGAAACGGCCAUUAUAAGGAAUCCAGUCAGGCAUCUAAAGGAUGGAAUUCUUCUGGAGGAGCACAAUCAUCUGGUAGGCAGGCCAAUGCGGUCAGUUCAGCGUCCUGGGAUGACUGGGAUAGUAAAGACAACAAGAAAGAAAAUCCUACCGGAGGGGCCACAUCCAGUAAUGACGAUGGCUGGGCUGGUUGGGAUGAUGGUAAAGAUGAUGGAUUUGAUAAUUUCCAAAGGGCACCUAACAAUAAACAUGUCGCUCAUGGUGGAAAAUCAGAGUCCAAAUGGACUGAUGGAGGUUUCCUCUAAGAGUAGCAGAUGCCACAACUUCUGGUAAUUCUUUUCCCUUCCAAAUUUGAUUUCAUCAAGAUUUACAUCUUGGAAGGAUUCGUCUCUGAAACUUGUUGAUGUAUGUAGCAUUACGAACAUGAUUGGUCAAUUGCCUCUCAGGUAAAAGAAACAAGGAACGAAGGCAACAGAACAAACUGUUCUGAUGCCCAUUAUUUUUCAAGGUUACAACUUUUAGGUUACAUUUGGAUUUGUAAUGACCAUAGUUGCAUUUACUAUUUUUCUGCAUUUUGGUCGUGUAUUUAGGUGACCGUCUUUAAUCGUGUACCAUUUAUUUGUGUUAUAUACAGCUGCAUAACAUAUUAAUUUGCGCGUAAAGUGUUUGAUCAAGUUCUGGUGUAGUUUGUUCUUUAUGUUGCAAUCCAUCAGUAAUAGCAUGUAUUGUAAUGAUAUGCUAUAUAUAUGCAAAUACACAUCCUCUUGUUGACCUUUUCUUUUGUUCAUUUUUGCCUUUAACAAGAACUGAAAGCAAGCAAAUUGUUCUAGUCCUUAUUUGAAACCAAGGUGGUUUAUGCCUGUUCUGUCAGAUUAAAUUCUGAAUAAAAAAUUCUACAUAUGGGAUAAACUUAUCCUCGAUAUAUUCCCACGACUUUAAUAUCUUAUCCCCCAAACCAAACGACUGUGUUUGCAUGCUCCACAAUCUCAUAUUCAAUCUUCCUCAGUUUCUGAACAUCAUCAGAGUAAGGGGAUUAACUUCAUGAAUCUCCUUUGUUUGAAUAAUUGCACUGCACAAAUACGGCAAAACCACAGGCCUUCUUUUUAUAAGAUAAUCCCUUGCUAUAGUAACAAGUAUCUCAAAAAGUGCUUGAGGUGACAAGUUUCAAUAUUUUUUUUUUAGUCAUUUCUUAGGUAGGGAAUGUUUCUCCUAAGAGCUCAAAUUUGAAUUGAUUUCGAAUAUCGAAUAUGUAAUCAACAACAACAAGAAUAUACCCGAUGAAUGUCAUAAGUGGGAUAUGGGUAGGGUAAAGUACAGAACCUUACUACUACCCAUGCAAGAAAAGAACAGUAGCAACAACAAAAUAAUGUGAUAAUCGAAACACUAUAUAUGAUGAUAAAUAAUUAAUGCAAAAACUACAUGAACCAAAAAAACCUAAACAUUCGAACAACAAAACAGCACUCCGCUACCUUCUAGCUUGUUUAAUUAAUCGAAUAUUAAUUUAUUUUUUUUAAAAAAAAGAAGAAUUGUCUAUUUUACACAAAAUAGAAUUGGCGUCGCCCGGACUCAAACCGGAGACCUUCAGUGUGUUAGACUGACGUGAUAACCAACUACACCACGACACCUUUUGUUCAACUGAUGAUUUUUAACAAAAUCAAUGAUUUCCGAUCUUAGUUUAUUGUUACCCAUUCUUUUACUCGUUUAGGAGCAUUUUGUACCCAGGAUGAAUCAUAAAUCGGAUAGGAUUGUGAGCGUGGUCGAAUUACAUUUGCAUGUUACGAUAACACUUACCACUCUCGUAAAAAUUUGAUUAAAUAUCCUAUUUUUUCAAAAUAAACACUUUUGACUUCCCAAAAGAUUGAUCAAACACACUAUAAGAAUAUUUUAAAAAGAUGUAAUAACGUGAAGGGUCUUAUAGAAAUAUCAGAAUUAAUCAAGGAAAACAAAUAUUCUUUUUUCUACGAGAAAUAAAUUGAAUGAAAAUAAGAAUCAAAUUCAGAUAUAUAUUACUAUAUCAAUAAAAUAAAAGCUUGAAAUUUCUAUCAACUAUUACAAAUUUGAAAACAUCCUGUGGCUGUAGUUUAGUGGUAAGAAUUCCACGUUGUGGCCGUGGAGACCUGGGCUCGAAUCCCAGCAGCCACAAUUUGUAUUUCUUUUUUACUCUCUAAUGUGAAUUCAUUCUACUCAUUUAAUUUUAUAAAAAGCAUAUUUUUCAAAUUAUUUUUGAAAGGAUUAUUUAACUUUUGUGUUUCUCUUCUCGGAUUUAAUGAAAAUUUAGUGAAAAAAAAUAAAUUUCAAUUAGUUAAUAUUAUUUAUAUGAAUUUUCUUCCAAUUUAUUAUAUUCUUGACCAAUUCAAUAUUUUGAUUCUAAAGUUUAUUGAUUGAGACAUUUUCUUAUUAUGUGAUAGGUGUAUCUUAUUCUAUUCACCAGAAUAUUAUAUUUAUUGACUAAUGCAUCUGCCAUUUACUUUAGGGCAUGAAACUUCGAAAUGAAUGAGUGCAACAAAAUAAGGAAAGAAAGCUAGGACAUGACUUGUAAUUGACCUGAAGAUCUAUAUAAAACGUAUUCAAAUAAAUUCAAAUCAUAACAUUCUUUAAAUUUUAUCCUAUGUAUUUCAGAUGAUCUUUAUCUAAUUUAAUGAUUUUGUAAUUUUAUCAUACAUAUUUUUUUAGCGGUUAAUAUACAUACGCAUAUAUCUAAGUUUAUUUGUGAAACAAAUAUGUAAAUUUAUUUUGAAUAUAUAUAUAUAUAUAUAUAUAUAUAUAUAUAUAUAUAUAUAUAUAUAUAUAUAUAUAUAUAUAUAUGGCAACUUUCACAUAUAGCAAACAAAAAAAUCAUAUUUGUAUAAUAUAGCAAACUUUGCAUAAUUGCGCUCCAUAACAAACAUAAAAACUGUAUAAUUCGCUAUACAUAUAAAAGUGUAUAAUUCGCUGGCCUAAAUUGUAUAAUUCGCUGGCCUAUUUCGCUGCAAUUGUAUAAUUAGCUUUGCAUACAGUUGAAUCGAAUUAAAAUGUAUGUAUAUUGCAUAAUUAUAAGUGUAUAGCAAGAAGAUAUAUGUUUUUCUCGCUUUAUACAAAAACAGAAACACAAUAUAUACACUUCUGUUGUAUAAAGCUAGAAAAAAUUGUAUUUCACUGCAAUUGUAUAAUUCACAAUUGUAUAAUUCUUUGGCCUUUUUCUCUGCAAUAUUUGAAGUAAAAUGUUUGUAAAUUAUAUAAUUAAGUGUAUAACACGAAGAUAUACAUUUUUAUAUGUGUAUAUACAAUUUUCUCUCGCUUUAUACAAAACAGAAACAGAAAUUAUACACUUCUGUGUAUAAAGCGAGAGAGGCGAGAAUGGGAGAGUGGCGAGCGAGACUUCUGGGAGAGAGACGCCUGACAAAUUUUUGUCAAUGUUUGCUAUGGAGCACAAUUAAAUCAAACCCUAGCUAUUCAAUUUAAUUUAGGUUAUUAGUUUGCUAUUUUAUACAAUUUUCCCUCAUAUAUAUAUAUAUAUAUAUAUAUAUAUAUAUAUAUAUAUAUCAAGAUUAAGUAUUGUAUUGGCAUGAUUUUCGAUAAGAAAUAGAGUUUAGCCCCUCAAAAUUGAGUUUAUGUAGCCCAAUUAUUUACCCACAAACCAAAGCCCCAUUUUCAAAGCCCAUAAACAGCACACUACGCUUCCAUCUUCCAAAUAGUAACCAAAUCGGCGUAUCCGUUUUCCAUCUCCGCCGCUGCCGUCGCCGUCGCCGCCAAGAUGAAGAUUGCUCAAGGUGUCUUAAGGACUGCCAAUGCUUGCCUAUCUCGUUAUUCUUCUCAUCAUCGGACUUUUUCUGCGCUUCCGAAUUUUGGUAGGUACUACUAUUUAAUCAAUUCUCUAUUCAAUUCCUUCCUUUAUCAUGCUAAUUUGUAGUUUUAGCAACUGAAAAUCUGCAAAUUUAGUUUUAUUGAGCUUAUUUUGAAUCCUAUUAUCGUUGUUCAGUAAUGUUCUAUUGACUUAACACCUAUAAAUGGAGGUGGCUGACCUCAAAAUAUUUAGAUCUGGUCGGUUAUCGUUGUUCAGAAAUUUCAUUUUUAGUGUUCGAAUUUAGUAGGACUGUGCACUCCUUAGCUCAAUUUGAGCUACGAAAUGCCCUCCUUGAACUCUUUUGAACUUCAGAGCUUAAUUCGCGUAGUAAAUGAGCCUUUGGCAGUACUUGUUGUCCCCAUAUAUCUUCCAACAUCACUCAGGAAAAAAACUGUUUUAGGAGAGAACUGUUUAGGAGUUAUUUCUCAAUAAAAAUAAUUAAGUUGUUUAGGAGUUUUUAACAGCUGAGCAUGCAUCCUGUGAUUGAAUAGUGGAAAGAAUUGUAACAUGGUCAAGCUUCUCUUAGAUGGUAUUUUACUGGCUCACUAAUCCUUCUCAAAUUGUGUGCCUUUCAUAUGGGACAAUCCUAAUCGACAUUACUAAUGUUCAUCUUUAGACGCUCUAGCUUUGUCCGGUUCUUCUUUAUUGUGUAGUUACAUGCUUCUUCAUCAUUGAUCAUCAUCACCUUUUUCAUGUAUAUGCAUUUUCUCUUUUACCUACAUCUCUGGUAAUGGAUACAACUUUCCUCAUCACUACACAGCCCCUGAUGAUAAGCAAAGCACCAACUCGUUUGAGUCUGCUGAGGACUUUGAAAGACGAAUUUUUGGUGAUAGUGCGGGUAACAGGCCAAGUCCAAACUCCUUUUUCAGAAAGCUUGAUGACGCUGAAAAGUCUUAUGAUAGAUCUGGUCUGGGCUCCACAUUUAGUUCUGGAAACAGAUCUAGUAUCCUUGAUGGUCUAGAUGAGAGUUUUAAUACAUUAUCAGAUGGGAUGGAUGGUAAGCUGAAGGAAGCAGCCAGCUAUUUUCAGGUGGAUCCUGAAGAAGUAGGAAAAGAAGAUUAUGCUUACAGAGCAGAUAUGACCUUUUGGCCCGGAAACACUUAUGAACUCAAGGUAUGACUAAUGAGCUACCAUUUCUUGUAUGCUUUUAGCAUAUUGAGUUUCAAUUCCAUAAGAAGAUAUGUCUCACUGUGGUUUUUGUAUAUCUUGCACCCAUUGGUGUUUCAACAGCUUCCAUCAAACAUUCAAUUGUUUGGGCCUGCUAGAAUGUAUACUCUUUAAGUGCUUAUUUCCUAGUACACCUCGUUUUCAUGUUUUGUUCUCUGUGGCAAGAGCAAAAUUAUGGAUGACGUUAAUUUGUUGCCAUAGCUCAACGUGUCCUCUUGCUCUGUAUUUCCUAUGGUGCUGUCAGGUCCACCUCUAAGCUUUUUGUUAUUAACAUGCAGGAUCUUGAUCUUAGAAAACCAGGAGUUCGCAGGCCCCCAAAAAGGGAUGAAUUUGAAACUACGACAGAGGAAGUUUUGCGCAAAGCUGAUUUCAGGGUUUGUAUUCUUGGUUCUGCAUUACUUUGACCACGCAUGGCUUUAAAAUGUCUCUAUAUAUGCACCCCAGUGUCUGCACAUGGAAACACCCUCGAGUACAUACGUUGCUUAUUUGAUACUCUUAGCGUCAAGUCUCUCUGCUGUUUAGUUUAUUGUUGCUGAAUUUGGAUGUUGCUUAUAAACAUAAAAGUGGUGUCUUCCUCCCAAGUAUUGUCUUGUAAAUUUGGCCCAUUGUGAACCUUCUGACUCUUAACGAAGUUAUCUGAUUUAUACCUUUAACUAACUUGCAAUGCAGAAUGUGAGAUUCCUAGCUAACUUCAUCACGGAGGCUGGAAUUCUCCACAAGAGGAGCAAGGUUAGUAAUCAAAUCCAUCUACUAAUUUUGACGAUUAAAUAUGUCAAUUUCUUAUUUUUUCUUUUUGGUCAUGUAUAGACUGGAAUUAGUGCCAAGGCCCAAAGAAAGAUCGCCAGGGAGAUAAAAACUGCCAGAGCUUUUGGUCUGAUGCCUUUUACAACAAUGGGAACAAAACACUUUGUAUUUGGCAGAACCAUGGAGGACCUUGAUGCAGAUUAUGAAUAUGAGAUGUAUGACCCAAAUUUUGUCGAUUCAGAAGCUGGCCGGGAACCUUUUUAAUCAUAAAAAGGAUACUACUAGUUACUAUUUGUUUUUCUUAUCCUCUGUUUGUCCUUGAGAACAUGUAUUCCAGUUAUUGCUAAGGGCUGAUUUUGCAGAUGAGGGAUUAGCAUACUAACUCGUUUUCAUCCAAUGAAAAGAUGUUCUCGGCGUUUUGUUUCAAAUUAUACACUGCUUCAAAGGAAUGCCCUACAUAAUACAUGCUGGUAUCAUUGUACAUCAUUGAUUUAGCUGUUGGAACUCUCUUCCUCUGGAUGUUGUGAUUUGGUUCAUUUUGAGGAUGUCCAAAAUCAACUGUUGGCUCCACUCCAACAUUUUUCUUUUUUCUAUCUGCUUGUGAUUUGGUUGAGUAGAUUAAUGUUACUAGAUUGGCGAACUCAUUAUCCAUCGAGUUUUGAGUCCUCAUUAGCCUCGAGGAUUUCUUGGUUAUCAAAAUAAACGAGCAAUGUAGAAACUCUAUUGCAAAGUUUUUUGAGGAACUUUUGUUACAUUAGCCAUAGAUAUGAAUUAUGUUAUGUAUGAAAUCUGUUUGCUUUGGUUCAUUUAGUUUAAUGGAACGUCAAUUUUAUUAAUUACAUGUGCAAUUGUUUGUACCUCAGUGAAAUUAAUUACUACAGUGAUGAGAUAGAAUGGUAUUGGUACCAUAAAUAUUAAGCCAAAUCUCGAUAAUGUUCAUUUAAUAUAAAUAGAUUAUAGAUGUUCAAACAUAAAAUAUAAAUGAAAUCACAUAGAAGAUCUUUUUUUGGGUUAUUUAAUUUUUUUUCUAGAUCCGAAAUAAAGCCAAAAAAACUAAACAAAUAAUUUUUUAAAUCCAAAAUCAAACUAAAAAUCUAAUUCAAAGUAGAACACCCCUAAAUUCACUAAAAUCAAAACAAAAUAAUCACCACAUUGGGUAAAUGUGCCUCUUCAAAACUGAAGCUCUGCAUAUCGGACAAUCUUUCUUCUUGAUCAGCCAUUUUUUGACGCAAUUUGUAUGAAACUCGUGUCCACAUUGCAACGCUCCUAUACUCUCUUCGUUUUCAUAUUCAGAUUGGCAAAUAACACAGGUAACUGAUUCUACAUCAGGAUCUACAACUUGGGGAGCAUGAUGAGUUCUUAUUUUCAAGUACUUCAGUACAUGAACAUAAUCAUCCUCUUGCUCCUCAUGAUUAAUUUGAGGAAGAGAGCGAAAUCUUAAAUUCCUCUCUCGAAAAUUCAGUAUUCUAUUCCUUAAAUUUACACGUUGAAACCUAUAGGCAUUUACAAACGAUGUACCAUAUAAGUAUGUAUUAAUAUGAUCUUCUAGAUUAUAUUGUCUAGAAGGCUGAUAAUUAGGACGUCUACGCAUAUUAUAGCCUUGUUGUUGAUGAUAAUUGGGACGUCUACGCAUAUUAUGGCCUCGUUGUUGAUGAUAAUUGGGGCGUCUACGUGAGUUAUAGCCUCGUUGUUGAUGAUUGUCAUUCCUAACUUGUCGAGCAAUGUACUCAUGUUGAGCGAAUGAUGCAUUAUAUGCGUUUGGAUUGACAUAAUCAUAGAGAUUAUAAGGCUGAUAAUUGGGGCGUCUACGCGAGUUAUAGCCUCCUUGUUGAUGAUUGCGAUUCCUAAAUUGUGGAGCUACGUACUCAUAUUGAGCAAAGGAUGCAUCAUAUGCAUUUGGAUUGACAUAAUCAUAGAGAUUAUACUGAUUAUAAGGCUGACAAUUGGGGAGUCUACGCGAAUUAUAGCCUCGUUGUUGAUGAGUGUCAUUCCUAAAUUGUGGAGCAAUGUACUCGUAUUGAGCAAACGAUGUAUCGUAUGUGUUUGAAUUAACAUAAUAAUAGAGAUUAUACUGACUAGAAGGCUGAUAAUUGGGGAGUCUACGCGACUGAUAAUUGGGAAGUCUACGCCAAUUAUAGCCUCGUUGUUGAUGAUUACCAUUCCUAAAUUGUGGAGCAAUGUACUCAUAUUGAGCAAACGAUGCAUCAUAUGCGUUUGUAUUAACAUAAUCAUAGAGAUUAUAUUGCCCAGGAGGCUGAUAAUUGGGGAGUCUACACGAAUUAUAGCCUCGUUGUUGAUGAUUUCCAUUCCUAAAUUGUGGAGCAAUGUGCUCAUGUUGAGCAAACGAUGCAUCAUAUGCGUUUGGAUUAACAUAACCAUAGAGAUUAUAUUGCCCAGGAGGCUGAUAAUUGGGGAAUCUACGCGAAUUAUAGCCUCGUUGUUGAUGAUUACCAUUAUUGAAGGGACGAUGAGAAGUCAUUGUUUCGUUUCGAUCAAGAAAUUAAGGAACAGAGUAUUUUUGAGUUUGAACAGAGUACUAUAGUUUGCAUUGUAUUAAUAGAGGCUAUUUUCUUCCCAGUUUAAUUUGGAUUGGGUUUCAGCUAAAGUAUUUUUGUUUUAGGAAACUUAAAUUAGGAAAACUUAUUUAUACUCACAUAUUUAUUUGAAAACUUACUUGGAUACUUAUUAGGAAAGCUUAUGUGUACUCGCAUAUUUAUUCGAAAACUUAUUUAGAUAUGUUAUAUUAAGAAACUAUUUAUUAUUAGAGUAAUAUAUUUAAUUUGGGAUUGUUUAGAGGUGAGUUAUGGUAUAACUUAUGUAUAUGUAUUUUUCCUUAUUACGUAUCCGUAUAUACUUUACAUGACUUUUGACUAGCUAUAGUGUAGCACGGUGUAUAUUCCCACGACUUUUGACCUUUUUAUGUAAAUAAAACAAUGCUAUAUUUAUUAUAAACUAAUAUUUUGUUAUAUAUAUAUAUAUAGUAAUGAACUUAGUCGUGCUUUGCGCGAUAAAAAAUUACUCGUUAAAUUUGUUAAAUAGUUAAUUUUUUGAAUAGUUGACUACUAAAUAUAUUUCUAAAGAUUCUUUAUAGUCUUUAAUCUAAAUAUAUCAAAUUUUAAGUCUUAAUUAAGUUUAUUAUUAAAACUUAAAUUUUAUAUCUUUUGUAAUUUGAAAUCGUUUAAGAAUUUUCGAAAUUAGAAAAAAAAAUCCUAAAUUUAUUCUCUUUAUUUUAAUAAGAAAAGUAAAUUUAAUGUAAUAAGUUGAACUCUUUAUGAAAUUUAAAUUUAAUUUAAUAAUAUAAUAAGCUUAAUGUAAAUAUAGUUUUUUUCAAGUAUCUAUUCUUUUCCUUCAAAAGUAUUAUACUUUUCUUUAGUAAUGAAUUUUUUUUUAUCACUAAUUUUAGAUUAUGAAAUGUUUGUAAAUCAUUUUCUAUCUUGACUAAUUUUACUACGAUUAUAAUAUACUGCCUAUUAUUUAUAUAAAAAUGAAUAGAUUGAAAGAUAAAUAGUCUCAAAUACGUAAAUAAUAUAAAGUAUUCAAAUAAAUUAAACUCAAAUUAUAUAUAUGUAUUAACUAAAAUACAACUUUAAACUUACCUAUAUUUUAGUUACAAUUUCUAAAUUAUUCUAAAAGGUAAACAUAAAUAAAAAUUGUGAAAUUUCUUAAUCCUCAAAAUUGAUUUCAUUAUUCAAAAUAAAAUAUAUACAAUGUUGAAACCAUUAAAAAAACCUUAAAAGAUAAUAAACAAAACGAUUCAAGUCUUCAAAGUUAAAAUUAAUAUACCUGAAAUUUCAAUAAUAUUAUUUAGUGUAGGUAUAAAUUAUAAUUAGAUAAAUUAAUCAAAGAAUCCUUGUUGGAGUACCAAAGAAAAUUAAAAUAAAUUAAAAUAAAACAAAUAAACAAAAUAAUCUUUGUAGGAAUACCAAAAAAAAUUAUCCUAGCCUCUAAUUAUUCAAUUUGUGCACACUCUCAAUGUUCACUUACACCAUUUGAAGAUUAAUGGACAUAAACAUUAAUGUAGGGUUCCUUUUUCUUGUGAGUUUAUGAAAGUUAAACUUAAAUAUUGUCAUAUCUUCAUCUUGUCUUCCAUUAUAAAUAAUAAAGAUUAUUAAAAAAAAAUGCGCAAAAUAAUAAGUACACUAAAAUCAUCAAUAAUGAGGAAAAAAGCAAUAAAAACAAAAAAAAAGAAUAAAAAAAUAUUGUAAAUAAAAGACAUCAAACAAACUGAAAUAAAAAGAGUAACAUGAGUAAAAUAUUGUACUCAUCAAAAUUGAAUUUGAAUUUUCAAAAUUGUCAUAUACUCGUCUACUCGUCCACACUGUUAAGUAUUAACAAUAGAAGUUAGUCACAAAGAAUCUCUCUCUCUCUCCCCCUAUAUAUAUAUAUAUAUAUAUAUAUAUAUAUAUAUAUAUAUAUAAAUAGACAUAAUCAAAGUGAUGUACCUUGGUAACUCAAAUUAGAUACUGUUCUCAUUGAAUUUGAAUUUCCAAAAUUGUCAAAUGCUCAUCUUAUCUUCCACAUUGUAAAAGUUAGUAACAAAUAAACUAUAUAUUAUAAAAUUAGAAAUAACCAAAGUGAUGUACUUUAGUAUAAAUAUGAUGAAGAAAGGAAAAAUAAAAUAAAAAAUUCUUGCAUUGGUGAAGAUGACAUGGUUUUAGUAUUUAUAGUAAUCCAUAAAUUCUUAACUAUUGAAUAAAUAAAUUAAAAUAGUAAUGGAGUAAUCAAUAACUUAUAUUGGUCAUUAGUGUCUUAAUUAUAAUUUAGUAAUACUUUUAAGAAGAAAUAGGGAAAGGUUUAAAUAUUUAAAGGGAUAAAUUGUAACUUAUAUAUACCUAAAAUAAUAAAGGUAUUAAUAGAGGAAUUUAAAGAGAAAUAAUGAAUAGAGGAUAUUUAUUUAAUUUAACUAAAUAUAUGAAGAUAAAAUUAAGAGAAAAAAAAGCUUUAAAAAAAGAUAAAAUAUAUAAAUUCUAAUGCUGAUCUAUGAGGGGUGCCACAUCAGCACUUUUAUAUCCAGAUUUAUAUAUAUAUAGAUUUAAAACUAGUCCUAUUAUUAAAUUAUAGGGCUUAAUUACCGUUUAAUUCACUAUCGAUGAUUUAUGCAAACAUCUUUUUUGGGUCAUUACACACAAAACAAUAGAUCUUUUUUACAAUAUGUUAGAUCGUGAUCUUACAUAAACUCCUAAGUUUUCAGUUUGUUGAAAAGGGAUUUCAUACGUCUAAAAGUAUAUCUUAUAAAAUGAGGAUCAUUUACUAAAAUAGUUAUUCUAGGAAUAAUAUAACAAAAAAUUUGACGUUUACUAAUUACAAUAUAUAUGAUUCAAUAAAUAAUAACAUUGUUAGAAAAUGCAAUUUUAAUUAGCGAAUAGCUACAGAAAAUUUGGUUUGGAUUCUUGAACACGUAAAGUAUCCGAACAAGUUCACAUUAAUUAUAUAAAUAAAAAUAUGUGGAUUUAAAUAAAGAUUCAACUUUAUUUUAAUUGAAUAAUUAUGGAAAGUCGAAAUAUCUAUUGUUUGGCGUUCUUCAGGUAUCAAAAAUGGAAGUUUAAGAUUCAAACGGGAACAAUGGAUAAUCGAGCUGCGUGUUUUGAUAAAUAGCACAUGUAUGGAAUUUGAAAAAUCGGAUACUUUGAAUUAGUUUUUUUUUACCCUAAACAACUAACUAUUAGAAUGUAUGCGUCCACCAAUGAUUACUGGACCAGGUUCCUGAUAGAAUAAUAAUAUAGAAAAUAACUCAAGGUAAAUCAAAUACAAAGAUUUUACGUGAAAUCUCCUUGCUCAAGGGAAAAGAAAAUGACGACCCAUACUCACAAGAUUUCGACCCAAAAAAAAAGCAAACUUUCAAAUUACAAACUCUUGUAACCUAGGAAUUAAACUCUUAUUCCCUUCCCCAUUAUUGUAGCAACUCUACAACAAAGGAAACUAAGAAAUAAUCUAUAUUAUUGUAGUUGAUCUAGACUUCAAGAACCCAACAAGGUUAAGUCUAGCCACCGAUUAAAAAUCUCAAAGAUAGAAACAUAAAAGAGAAGCGACUCUGCUACACAUCAACUAACUCUAGUUGACACUCUCAGAAACUCUACCGAAGAGAACAUCACAACAAGGAUGUAAAGAGGCUUAACUAAAACAUAGAUGAUUUGAAUAACUAACUCAAGUUAAUACGACUCAAACUAAAAACUUAGACAAAAAACAAAUUUACUAUCCUUUAUAACUUAGGAGUAGAUUUACAAUAUAAGAACACAAGACACAAAGCUCAAAAUAUAACAAAAGACGCUUCAACACUCCAUCAGAUCCCUUGUUGAGUAUGAACAUAGUUCUUCCUUGAAUUAAAAUGCCUUUUUUCUUUUAGAGCUUAUGAAUUUCCAGAAUUUAAAACUUUAUUCCAAAACUUAGGUGUGUCUUUGGAGACAGGACUAGUAUAAAAUGGACACAAACCAUUAGGGCAAAGCCAUUGUCUGAGAACCUGCCGUUAUGAAAAGACAUGCACCAACCCCAACAACUUUGGCAGUUUGGGUAGCUUUUUAGAUAAUUGUCUUGUCUUUUUUCACGUACGCAGUCUUUUCUUGAUCAGGACCAUUGUUAGAUCCGAAAAUUUGUUAAUCCUCAAAAUUUCAAAUCAGCUCCAAAAUAACACAAACAAAUAGUGUGGGAAUAUUAUUGCAAAAAUCAUUAGUGAAUUUGAGUGUUUUCAAAAACAUUUUUGGGGCGAGUCUCGGGGCGGAGCGUAUAAAAACACCCGAGAUGCAAAUUGAAGACGUGGAUCCUAUGGACGUAGGUUCUAGAAUUUGAGGCGUAAUUCUUGAGCAUAAACACGUAAGCUCGAGGUAAAAACAUACGCCAAGGGUGUUUUUUUUUUUGAAUUUUUUUGCUUUAAAUCACAUUUUUUAUUAUUGAUAUUUCUUAAAUAAUAAUUAUAAUACUUUUCCUUCGUUAUUAUCUAUUAAUUUCCAUCUCAAAUAAAAAACAAUAAUACUUUUUUCUAUAUAUUAUAGCUUAUUUACUAAAUUUAGUGAAAUUAUUGAAAGUUUUAUUAUUGAUUAUUAACUUAAGUAAUAAAAUUAUAAAAUUAAAUAUACAUGAGAUUACACCUCAUAGAUCCAUGAGACUUACAUUCUAUAUCUCGAGGCCUAUAUCUAGCCGUGUAAUGCAUAAAACGUCUCCUCUCAUGCCCCGUCCUGUAAAACACUGGUGAAUUUUAUCACCUAUUUAUGGAUGUUCCCAAUUCAGCAAUUCUUUUACACCUUUCUCCAAGUCUUUUACUUCUCUCAUCAAACUACUCAUGCAAAAUCCUAUUGAACACAAACAGAUAAUGAUAUUUCUAAUAUUUUCUUCUUUGCCUUCAAUAGAUGUCAUGUUAUCAAUAACCUCCUUUGAGUGCUCAAGAAAAUCACUUGAAGCUUUCCAUUCCUUAUUGCUAGUAGAAGUAGUUGUAUAUUCGCGUUGUGACUUUCCCUCCUCGAGGUCAUAAACAACUUUAUGAUCCUCUGGUUGAUCUUGGAAAGCUCUUGACAUUCCGAUAGAAAUGGUUUUCUCGAUACAUUUCAUUGAAGAGCUAAUCGCAUCAUUGACAAUCUGCCUGUCUUUCUUUAAGUGUUCCUGGAUCUUGUUUCUCUCAGCAUCACAACUAUCUAAUGCUUGUAUGAGGGAUUCUAUACUGUAGGCCAUGAAAUACAGUAAGUGCACGACGUUUGAUAGAGAUCGUUGAAGGUUUUGGUAGCAAGAAACAGGAAAAGGCGUAAACCAGAAACCAGGUUCCAACUCUGCAUCUACUAUGAACUUUUGUAAUUUCUCUACUUGAGAAUUCAAUUGUCUUUGCUUCUUCUUAAAGCCAUUGAUCUGCCCUGAGUCCAAGUCAAUUUGCUUAGUACAACUUUUAAGUGUUCCAAAGCACAGAAGAAGAUGAUUUUUCGCGAUUGUUGCUGCUCGUGUUGGUUGGAUUACAAGCUCUAUGAUGAUGAAACAUGAUAAUCCAAUUAAGGCCUCGGUGAGUCUAGCAAUAGCGAAUUCACUCGGGGGACCAUAUCGUCUUCUGCCUAGAAUCAGUAAUGCUCCGAUAAUUGCUGCAUCUCCUCCUGCUGUAGAGUACAUUUUACUGUGCCUUAAAAUUGACGCGAAAAUUAUCCAAGGGAUCAUAGCUAUGAAUCUUAUUCUCGCGAAAUUUUGAAAAGCAGUGCAGCCUAGUACUCCAUAGACUGAUCCUAGAGCUGUUCCUUGUGCUCGAGCAUUUGCAACCGUAAAAAUUGCUACUUUUCCUGUUUCAAAGCUGAUGGCUGUUGUAAGCCCUGACCAAUAUCCAUUCCGUUUGUUAAAUUGCAGACCAAGUAGUACAGCCAGACCUAAUGAAAUUGAGCACUUGCACGCGAAUACAAGGCUUUCACGGUUCAUUAGGUUAGUCCAAUUGAUGCAGACUCGUUUCGAGCUAACUUUGUCACUUCCUCCUGAAUCUUUGGAUCCUUUAGUCAUGAUUAGAUCAUUUAUGCACAUUUUGAUACAAGACAAGAAGAAAAUUGCUGGUUGAUCUAGGCUUGUCAGGGAAAUUGACUCGGGGGAAAAAAUGGUAAACUCAUUCUCAAAUACCCCUUCUGUUUCUGUAACUAUCAUUGAAUGUGUUCGCAAAAGACAACGAGCUUGCUCCAGUUUUAGACCGAGUAGCUGUAGCACGCGAUGUGAGAAGACACGCAUGAGCUUUUCAUCAAUAAUUGUAGUUUGAAAACAAGGACAAGAAGUUAAAGCAAUUUCCAUUCCUUUCAUUGGACUCUCUAUGUCAUGCAAACCAUUUCCAGGAUCAGUGAAACAGGGAACUAUGAAUCUUAGCCAAGGUUUCUCCCAUCGUAAACUUCCCUGUUCAUGUACAAAUGGAUACUUAGGUUACUGAACGACGAAAGGAAUAAAAAUACUCGCUUACGAAUGCCAAUUUAUAGAAUUCACCCCUCAAAAAGUUGCAUUGUAUAUCGUCGAGGUAUACAACUCACAUUUUGGUAUAUACACCUUAAUAGUAUACAACAAUAAGAAUUUUUCAAUCACACUCUUCGUUGGCAUACAACAUUUGAAUUGCAUACGCCAAAUGGCGAAUGUACAUACCUUCUGGGUAUUCUCUAAAUUGACCUACAACUCUGUACCAGGUUAAAUUGAUCAAAUGGUUGCGCUAGCUAGCUAGGCAUAGACCACGAAAAUGUUCCAUGCAAGAAUUUUUACUUAAUAAGACUAAAUUGGCCUAUAACUUGUCUCUGUAUCAAGUUUGAUAUGGUAACCUGGAAAGCGCGGAGUAAUAAUAGUAUGCUUUUGACCGGCUAACUAAUUGCACUCAUAGUGUGAAAAUUCUUUACUCUAUUAGAUAAUUAAUCGUACCUCUAAGAGUUUUAUGCUCUGAAGAAGCUUGGUUCCUGUUUGGGAAAUUGGUUUGGCUUGAGAUAAGAUCUCCAUAGCUAUUUGUUCAUUUGGAGAAUGGAGGGCUUUGAUGUAAAGAUCCAAUCUCUCUGAAGCAUUUUCAGCAUACAUACCAUAUAGUUUCCUCACCUGUAAGCAUAUUCAAUGAAUAUAUUAGCAAUUGUAUCAUUGUAAACAAGUGUGAUGGUUUUCUUUUAAAGUUAUAUCAAACUAUCUUAGUUGGUGGUGAAUUUUUUAUAUACAUUAGUAAGUUUUUAGAAGUUACACAUCGUGAGCUGACUACUGACAACUAGUGUAAAACUUGUCAAUUCAUGUUCGACUCAUAUAAUACCUUUUUGUUUAUGUUGUGUAGACCUAGAAUUUUUGUGGGACUCACGAUUAUUUGAUUCAUGAAGGACUUCAACCCUUUCAUCUUGCAUUAGAAAAAUAGACUUGUCUUCCUUCUUAUUAUUUAAAAAGUUGGAUUAUUCUUGUUAACAGGCUAGUUGAUGUUGAUGUCACAUGUGUUAAUGAUUUUGUUGGACCAAGUAGACAAUGAUAUUUUUGUUUCCUGUGUAUGAACUUUAAUUUCCAAAGAAAAAUAUCGAAAAAAUUUAAGCAAUAUAGUGUAUGGAUAUUAAUAAACUAGCUGGUUUUAUGAACUACAUUAUGAUCGUCGUGUACUUUUGGACCUAGUAUUCACUAACUACGUUCAUCAAAAUUUAAAUAAAUACUAAAAAAAAUGUGGGUUCACGAAACUAGUGAGUUUUGUUCAUUCCAUGAAUUUGUAUUAAGAAAUCAACAAGAUAUUUAUAAGAAUGUUAUUAUACACCAACUUGAGAUUAGUAUAGGAAAUUAUAAACUUUAAAAAUCUAAAUCCGUCUCUGAUUUGAUGACUUUUAUGUGUAUGAACUUCUAUACAUUUUGCAUUAUUUGAUUGAUUCAUGUAAAUUUUAUCUUAGUAUAUCAUGAUUACCUCAAAAUAAGCUAGCCAGGGGAAGAACAGCAACAAAGCAAGAACAGAAGCCACAGCUCCAAGAGCAGUACUAGAUGCAACUCGUAGAGGGUGCAUCACUAUAUUCACACGGAUUCCAUGAACAACAGCAUCCACAUACACAAUAACCAGCUGCGCGAAAGCAAUCCGCUUACACAUCAAAUCCGUAUUCCCAGGCAACGCCACCAAAAAAGCACUCCCCGCCACCAUCACAGAAGCUACUAGGGGCGAGAAGUUGUUAUCAUCAGUGGCGAAGCCAUGAAUCCAUAACCCAACCAUAGAAAGGGGCAUGACUUGGAGCGUAGCACAACACGCGCUCCAACAGCCCCUUAAAACUUUCCCUAGGGUAGCAUCUGGCACAAUAAUUAUGGCGGUUACAUAUGAAAAGGAGGGAAAUGCCAGAUGCCUUGCAAUAGAAGGCGGGCUGAGUAGGGUGGUGCAGCCGAUUAUUAUGCAUGCUAAGGCGGUGCGAAUAGCAGAAUGUAGCCUCAUUCGCCACAUUGCUUGAGCUCGCUUAGCCAUAGUUGUACUUGCCAUAAUUCAGAUAUAAUCAGAUUUCAAUGAAAUGAAUUUUUAGAAAAAAGAUAACUCGCUCUCCUCUAGAAAUCAAGCUUGAACUAACUCUAAGUCUGACAUUAUCAACAAGUCUAGAGCUGAUGAUUGUUGGUAACGAUUACUACUAUAAAAAUGCAUAUGAUCAAAUGUAGGAGUGGUAAAAUUUAGGAAACUCAGCUAGGUUACAAAUACAAAGUGGAAUUGAACCAGGAAUUUAUAUUGAAUCUUUUUAGUUAAUAUAUGUGUGGAUUCUGGAAUCAAACCUUUUAGGAUAAAAAAAUAAUUUGGGUUUCGGGAUUUGGUCCUCUCCAUGUACCAUUACUUUCGUUUUCCUAAAGUUUUUUAAUUCGAUAGAAGACACAUUCCAAAUUGAAAUCAAUAGUUUAGAUUUAAUUUGCAUUUUUCUUUUGGUUUCCCAUUGAACUAUCAAUUGUUAUGGUUAAAAUAAUAGAUAUUUCUUAUAUAUAUUUGCAAACGAUUUGGAAAUCUCAUCAUGCUAGCUAAAAGGUUGUUUUUCUUCUCUUUUUAAUGUUAUUAUAUUAUUACUUAAUUUGAUUGAUACAGUAUUUGUGGUGCACGAUUGAACAAGAAAGUUACAACAAGGUUCUGGUGAAAAAUAAGAAAAGAGAUUUUAGUUUUAAAUGGAGGAUCCAAAUAAUGUUUAUGUACUCUUUGAAGAAUUUUUUUUUUUUGCAAGACCUAUUUUUGGGAGACAACACUUCCAAAGGAAUUUAUUUCAUUCUUAAUCUGAACCUAUAAUUAAGAGCGGAGAAAUCUCAAUCAUCUCACUGUAAUUUUCGAAGGUAUUGUUGUAACUAUCCCAACUUCAAUCUACUCUUCAAAUAUGAAUGAAUAAUUGUACACUACUCCUAAAGUAUUUUUCAAGCUAAUCGGUACUAAAAUUGUUGAUUUUAGAAAGACAUAAUACAUAUAUUGGACUCUAAACUUGGUUGGCUUCAAAUUUUAAGUUUGACCUCAAACUUUUAUAGUACACAAAUAGACAUUUUAACUAUCCUAUCUUUCAAUAAAUAAACACGCGAUUCCUAUAUGGCAAAAUGCGUGAAAUGCAUGCAUUCUGCGCGAGUGAGAGGUAAUUUUUGAGGCCCACAAGGAUAAAAAAUGGUGAAAUAACAAUUCUACCCUUAAUGAAUCUCUUUUAUAUUAAUUAAAAUUAAUUUUAAUUUUUUUAGUUUCAAAAUGACGUGUGAUAUAUUUUUUUUUUUUAAAAAAAGACAUGUAAAAUGUUUAGUUAGUUGACAGUCACUGACUAGCUCACUAAUACACGUGGGGGCGUUUGCAUUUCACGCACUUUGACUCCAAAAUCGCGUGUUUAUUUAUUGAAAGAUAGGAUAGUUAAAAUGCAUAUUUGUACAUUAUGAAAGUUUGAGGUCAAAGUUAAAAUUUAAAGUCAAGUUUAGGGUCUAAUAUAUGUAUUAUGCCUUUUAGAAACUACCUCGUUGUCAUUCACGAAAAUUUAAUACAUAAAUAUGUCCUUUAACUUGGAUUCAAAUCACAUUUAUGCCCUUCAACUUUGGGUAUGCACAAGUAGACACUUAAACUUAUAUAAAAUUAAACAAAUAGACACACAUGUCCUACAUGUCAUUUUUUGUCCUACGUGGUGUCUACAUGUAUUUUGCCAUGUAGGACUCAUGUGUUUAUUUAUUUAAAAGUUGGAUAGUUAAAGUGUUUGUUUGUGCAUUAUCAAAGUUAAAGGUUAAAGUUAAAAUUUGAAUCCAAGUUUACGGUGUAAUAUACGUAUUAUGCCAUUAAUUUACUCCAUAGUAUUAUUAACCAGAUAUCUAUAAAUUUGAUGUUGUCUUCUAGAUUUCUACGUGCUAAUCCACCAACGACCAAACACAUUAUGGAGAAUAAUAAAAAAUAUUAUGUUGAAUUUAUUCCUUAAGCCUUAUUUCCCACUAACAGGCAAGUUUCUAUAGCAAGUAUGACAAAUUAAUCAUAUGAACAGUUGGGACUAAAAACUUGUCAAAAAGAAAAAAGACAGUUGAAAUAAUUUAAAAGUGAAAGUAGGACAAACAAGUUAAAAUGGAGGAGUAAUAAAGUAAUAAUUAAGUCGAGUAUCAAUUAAAAAUAUUCUUUUUAUCUAUACAAGAUUAUGAUAAAAUUUUCGUAUAUAUCACCCUCACCAAAGUUAUUAUUAUUGCUUAUAAUGUAUAGUUUCUUUUUUGCACAUUUCUAGAAUUAUAUAAUAGUAUAUAUAUCCUAUCAUUGGCUUUUGUAACCGAAUCGUCGAAUAUAAAAGACUUUGUCCAACAUAUAUAUCAAAAAGAUAUAAAAAAACAAUAUACUAUAAAUUAUCUGUCAAGUGGGCUUAGAAUACUUGUUAACAUGAUCAAUUUAUUCAUAAGACGAAAAGUUUUGAACAGAGAUAUUCCUCUUUGAAAAGAAAGUCGGUGAGAUCUUAUUAAUAUUGUGUAAUUGUUAGAAUUAGGUGGUUUGGAAUAUUGAGAUCUUACAUACAUAGAAUAUCUUAUUAGAAAAUAAACUAAUAAAAUGUUGUUGAACAGUUCUAUCACUCGAUUACACAUGUUAUUAGAUGAUAUAUUUUAUAAUUUUUGUAUAAACAAUUGUUAUACGUGAAUACGAUCAAUUUUAAUACUUAUGAUCUAAUGAUUAGCACUACAUUUAUUUUGGAUGUAUUUUGCAAGCGAAUAACCAAUCAUAGCCACACCAAAAAAAAAUCGCUUUUUGGCGCCAAUGCUCUGACUUACCUUUUACUCUCGAUCGCAAUUUCUUUUGAUCAUCUACUGAAUCGCAUCAGUGCCGUUGAUUCAAACCGUUGAAACGGAUCCACGCAACACUUAUGAUUAUUUUCACCGUCGCCGAACGAAUCGUCGUUGUCGUUUUUGAGAUCAACAAUUGCUUCAUCUGUUCUUCUACUAUUUUCUGAGUAUGACUCCGAAUCAUGAUGAUCUCCUUCUGCAGGCCACACAAAUUCCUCGAAUUCGCUUUUCAAUUUCUUCUUUCUACUUUGUUUAUUCAGAGAACUGUUGAUUUUUGCGCGAGUUGCAGAGAGGAGAGAUAGAUCGAAGUAAUCUUCUAACCUCACUUUAACAGCUAUCGAUUUUCUCCUUUUCUGUAAUGGAGAUGAAUCCACGUUCGUUGAGUUAUCCUGCUGUAAUUCAUACCUGUAAGUUACAAAAACAUCCAGAUCUCGUGUGAACAAAUGUGAUUAUACAUGCAUGAUCUGAAUUGAUCGAACAGAGAAUGUGAUUACUUAUGAGAUGCGAUAACAGAGGACGAAGAUUGCUGAUGAGGAGAACUAGUAAGUUUUCUCCGUUUCUGUAACGGAGAUGUAUCUGCAUUCGAUCUGCAAUAACGAAAAACAUCUAGAUUACAUAUGAGCGAUCCACAAAUGCGUGAGGAGCUCAAUUGAACAGAGAAAAGGAUAAUUACAGAUGAGGUGCGAUUGCGAUUGCAAUGACAGAGGACGAUGAUUGUUGAGGACGAGUAAGGCGUUUUUGAAUGUCUUCAAUUGUGGCGAGAGGACUCGAAGCUUCGACUCCAUGUUUAUCCAUCGUACACUAGCUGAUAGUGGAAAGGUAAAAAGUAUGACCGUUUUGCAGAGGAUCGUUCCAGCCAGAAAGUUUAUUUUCCAUUUAUCACUUUAUAUAGUUAAUUACAAUUUUCACCUUUGUUCAUGACUAAAUGUUCAAGUGCUAAAAUCAUUCCAAAAAACAUGUACGUCCUCGAUUCUAAUUUACGUGACAUUCAUCUCUAAAAAUCGUAUUAUUAAUAAAAGGUUCAUGAAUUCAAUCCGCCAAACAAGAUAAAGACUUUAGUUUUCCUUGGAAGAUAAAUAUAAUCAGCUAUACCCCAUAAGUUACCCCUGAGCUUAGGAGAAUCGAAAAUUAUUGUCUCCUUUCUAAAAUGUCAUUCUACCUUAAUUAUCAUAUAAUAAUGCUUGCUUAUUUCACCUUUUUCAUGUAAUUCUAAUUUCUUUUCGAUCUUUUAACAAAAACUAACAAAAAUCGUCCAAUACAUCAAAAGUAAAAAAGGAUUUCCCUUGAUUAAAUCUUGAAUGAGACCCAAUUAGAAAUGGCUGAAAAAAUGACAAAGUAAUUUAGUGCGAGGCUAAAAUAUAUCCUUCUAUGUUUGUUAAUUAAUAAGUUUAUCAUUUGUUAUAGGGAAAAACGAUAAAUAUAUUCUUGAACUAUCGUAAAUGGUAUGCAGAUACCUUCCAUCAUACGUUUGGUACAUUGGUGCCUCUGCCGUCCAAAAACUAGAGAAUAUAUCUCCUUCACUCUAACGGAAGACUAAAUAGGGACACGUGACACGAUCUUAUCUAUCGAUCCGAUAUCGGAUCGGUGAGUAAGAUUAUGACAUGUGUAUGUCUAUUAGUAUAAAGGGUAUAUCCUCUAAUUUUUGGACGACAAGGGCACUAAUGUACGUAAAAUAUGACGAAAGGUAUCUACAUGUCAUUUACGAUAGUUCAUGUGUAUAUUUAUCUGUUUUCCCUUUGUUAUACUAUAGGACCAAAUAUACUUUAUUGUUACCAAAAUAUUCAAAAAUACUACUCAUAUGAUAGAAUUCUCCAAGUCAAUCAAAAACAACCUAUUUAAAUCGAAAUUACCCGUUCACCUAUUUAAACCCGACCCAAACCCACUUAAACAGGAUUAACUCCACCAACUCUACUCGUUUGCCUAAUUGUUUGUGGCCAAACCUGUUUAGUCUACUCGCCUGCCUAAUUUGCAAUUACACUCUGUUUACAGGGGGUUUAAUUAGCACGAGUUUAAUUAAUUUAGGUGGAUCUAGGUUGAGUUUAAAAGGGAAAUCCGAUAAUUUUAAUUAAAAUAGUUUUUUUUAAUUGAUUUGGGGAUUCCAUUCAAAUGGGGGAUAUUUUUGAUUUAUCAAUUUUUCUUAUAUUUAAUACUAACAUCUGGAUUUAAACUUCAAAUUUUAUUUUUAAUGAGAUACUUUAUGUUUGCACAAAUAUCUAUGGCUUAUUUAAAUUUUUGUAGGAAUAAUUUACAAAUACUCCCUUAACAUAUGUAUAUAUUUGAGUAUAAGAUCUUCAAAAUUAUUUAUAAAAAUAAUAUAGUAGUAUAUAUGUAUAUUAAUAAAAUAUAUGUAUAUAAUUUAUCAUUUCGAUUCGAUUAUUUCUAAAAAAAUUAAAAAAUUAACAAAACCACAACCAACUCAUACACUAUCAAUUUUUAAAAUCUAAAAUCAAACCACGUCUAACUUAAAUAAAAAAUUUAUUUAUUUAAUCAAUUUAAUUUAGUUUUUUGUUUGGAUCGAUUUUUAUUCAAACCGUAUAAAGGAAUAUAUUGCACGUUUAAAUUCAUUACAAUUGAUAAAAAAGAAGUUAGUUUUCAUUUAAAUCCUCAGCCCCACACUAACUUUCUAGCCCAACCCCACACCCCUAUCCCUUGCCUAACUCCUACUAUCACUUUAGUCAAUCAUGGGCCUCAUCUAUAAUAUAAGAUAAUUAUAAGUUAAUUUACAUAGUGAUUGUCAAGUUUAGCAAAAUAUUUUCAUCAAAGAAUAUUACAAUGUAUAUUUUUUUUUAAUUAUAGGUUUCGAUAUUAAAUUUUGAAUAUAAAUAUUUUUCAGUAGAAAGUAUUUCCCUUAAAUGAACGCUAAGUAAUGUGAAUUUAUAUUUAUCAAAUAUCAAAAAAAAUUUAUAAACAACAAAUAAUGUAUAGUUUGUAAGAUAAUACUCUCCUCCGUCUAUUUUAAUAGUCUUGGUUACUCAACCUAACUAGUUCAAAAUAGUUGUCAUUUUAGAUAAUUAAUAUAUCCUUAAUUACUCCCUCCAUUUCAUUUUAUGUAUUACUAUUUGACUUGAAAAAUAAUGACUUUUAAAAAUUUUGGUCUAAAAUAAUCCAUAGUUAUUUGUGUUGUUAUAACUCAUUUCUUAAUGAAAAAAAUUGAAAUUAAAUUAUUUCUAGUUAUAGUAACAUUACACCAAAUAAAUGAUUUUUACCAACAAUUAAUUAACGACAAUUGUCAUAUAUUUAUGGAGACAAUUAAAACUUUUUAUAAAUGUCCCUAAAGUCUAAGCGAUAUUGAAUUUAAUGACAAUUAACUAAUGUAAGGUGACAUUUUUGAGGACGAACUAUAAAAAAAAAGAACGUCGUAUAAAAUGGUAUAGAGAAAUUAUUUAUUUUCUCAUUUACCACCACCCAAUAAAUAAGGAGAGAGAUUAAUAUAGUUUUAAAAAAAGUAACAUUUAAAUAUUUUUCUAAUAUGACAAGUAAAAUAAAUCGAAUUAACGUAGAAAUCAUGUUAUAAAUGACCAAAAAUAAAAAGAGUAAGAGGACUUUUUCUAAGUUUGUGUACAUAGGAUCCUUUGCCAAAUGCUCUCUUUAACUUUCCAUAUAUUUUUCCAACAACCUUCUUUCACCUGAACAAACCAUCCACAAAUUACAUCCAAAAAAUUGUAUCAUCCCAAAUUUACAAUGGAAAAUGAAGAAGACAUCAAAUCCAAUGAAGAUAUAGUUGUACCUAAUAUUCGUGAUCGUAAUAAUAUUAUACUAAAUAAUCGUGGUGAUCAAGUCGAGCUUCAAGAUUUAUAUGAUGAUGAUGAUGAUAUCAAGAAGAAACAAGGUCAUGAAAAUUACGCUAAAUGUACUCCAAAGAUAGAUGAUUAUGAAGAUGACGACUAUGGAUUUUUAACUCCACCUUCUUUGGAUCACAAAAUUGCAAAAAUUACAAAAUGUCCUCGAGCACCCGUGAAAAUUACUAGGCCGAUAAUUAGUACCAAGAGAAAAAGUGCAAUUUCGAGGACAUUAAUCUUCGAAGAGGCUAUUUUUGAAACAAUUUGCAUCACAAGGAUCCAAAAAGAUUUGCAUCUUCCAAACAAGAAAUCAAGAAAAAUAGACUGAUGAAACUGAAAUUAUUUUUCCAAUAGAGAGGUGAGAAUUUUUUAGAAUUUUUAACUUGUUAUGCAAUUAUAUAUCUACUCAUUUAUAUUUUACGUAAUUUGUUUCUUCCUUUUUUUUUUUCUCAUUUAAAUAAGGAAGAAAUAUACACUGGUUACGUUUUCCUGCUAUUAUUUGGAAUUGAGUCAAAGAUCCUUCGAGAAUAGCCUCUCUGAUACGAUCUGCGUAUAUUUUACUCUCCUCAGUCUCUAGUGUGAUUUCAGUGGCUAUGUUGUUAGUUUUUCUUUUCUCCCAUAAAGUAUUUGUAGACAAGCAUGCAAUUUGUUAAUAAGCGUUUUGCUCCUCAAGCAAUAUAUGUUUUAUUUUUGUUCCUGGAUAAAAGUCAUUUGAUAUUCGAUAAUAAUUACUGAUCCGAUUAAUAUGAAUUUGCACAAUGUAAACCUACUAAAAGGGCAAACAUUUCUUAUGCAAAAUAUCAUAAAAUAUAAAUUAUUAGCUCAUAUCUAUUUCUGCUCCUCAAUUAAACAAAAGUCAUUUGAUUCUAUAUAAAAAUGCGAUCGGUUAUAAUAUUAUUUUUGAGAAGAGUGCAUAUGAUCAAAAGGAGUAAAAUGAAGGAUGUGCAAUAGCCUUUCUUGGCAAAGCUACUUUUGAUAAGUGAUGCAUACAAGUCAAAUCUUCUUUUUCUUGUGUAUUAUUAAACUAUAGUAUAUAAUAGUUUGACAUGAUGGAAUCCAAGGAAAUGAAUUUUAAGUUCCGUUUGACAUUUCAUCUCCGUGAGAUGGAAUUCUAACUAAUUAAAGUCAAUGCCAUUUGUUAAAAUACCGUACUCAUACGAUGGUGUCAAAUGUCGAACCAUAAAGAUCUAUUAUAUAUUUAUAUGUCGCUUUAUUCUGCUUUUCUGUAAGAGAUUAUUUUCAUAGUUUAAAUCCGUGAACUCUUACUGACAAUAACUUUAUAGACUAUAUAUAAGUAUAUCACUUAAAAAUACUCAUUUUUGAUUUAUAUAUAUAUAUAUAUAUAUAUAUAGCUACAAAUAACAUUCUUUGUAUAUAUUUUUAAAACUUUUAACGAGAUUGAAUCUAACGACACUUAAUUAAUGUCGAUAAAGACUUUAACACUAUUUAUUAAUGUGUUUAUUAUUGUCGUUAAAAAUUAUUUGUAUUGUAGUGAUAUUGGAUUUGUAUAAUGAGCUAACCUUUUUCUUUUAUAACUUUAUUUGAUAGACACAAAAAUAAUCAAACAGUCAUCAUGUUAAAAGAAAUGAAAAUUAUGUGUUACUUACUCCCUUUCUUUGAAUAUCUUUUGGUCUUACUUUCAUUUUUAAUCUUACAAAAAAAAAAAGAAUUGUUUCUUUUUUCAUUUUUGGUAAAUUUUUAAUUUUAACUUUUUACAUAAAUUAUAAUAUUAAAAAAUAUUUUAAUAUAUUUUAAAUAUUUUUAAUUUAAAAUCACAAAAUUAAAAAAAAAAACUGUAUUCCUUAAGUAUCAUGUCAAGUCGAAAUCAACAAAUCGAAAAGAGUAGUUAGUAACAAAUCCAAACUCACAAAGGUAUUCUAUAUAUGUCAUGAUUUGACUCUAAAAAAUUUGGCAUUUCAAGCUUUUAGGUGAACUCAGUUUCAAAGGCUCUAGGGAAUCCAAUGCUUUAUGCUCAAAUAUGAGUUCUCAUGAUUAUUUUUUUUCUUCAAAUUUUCACCUUUUUUUCUCUCUUGAUUAUCUCUCAAAUUCCAGUUUCCAACUUUUUAUUUUCCUUUUGCAUUGACCUGUAUGCUUUGUUAAAUAAUCGAUUCGUUCAUAUUUAUUUGUUUAUGUUCAACAAUCUAUACGACGCAUCUCUUAAGAAUCAAUAAAUAAAAUAACACUUUAUUACAUCACUCCUAAUUAUUGUAAGUCGCUCAUAUGAAUUCUAAUAGUACUGAGAGUAAAAUACAUAUGAAAUAAUUUAAUUUUUUAAAAUUGGACAUAUAUUUUUUUAAUAUAAUGGACUAGUAAAAAUAACAAAGGGAGUACUUUCUAAAAUUUAGCAGAAACACAGAUACAGUACAAGCAAAAUUUUCACUUAAACUAUAGUCAAUUGCUUUGUUAUAUCCCUCAUUUAUAAGCUACUGCAUAAAUUAUUGGUACUAUGAUUUAGUAUCUUUUAGUAUUUUUUUGAGUUCAUACCUCGGAUGGUCACUCAAUUCUCUCGUAAAGUCAUCAACUUUCAAUUUUAACUUGAAAGUCACUUAGCUAUGCACUUCUCUCAGAAAGUCACUCAAUUAUUCCAUUUUUCUUCAAAUGUCACUCAAUCUAUUAUAUUGUUUUUAUAAUUAAAAUUUGUCGAUAUUAAUUGUUUGUAUGAAAAAUAAAAUUUUAAAAAAUAAAAUAUAUCAUUUAAAUCAUUUAGUGAUCCAUCCACUUAAUAAGAUCCAUUAAAAAUAUACUAUGACCCAUUUUAUUUUGCCCUUAAUCCUAAAUUAUUCCCCAUCUUUCUCCUUUGCUCCUCUAUAUUUUUCUUUUUCUUUCUCCAUAUAUCAAGGUGAUUAAUAUAUUAUCGACUAUUGUGUCACAAAACUCACAAGUAAAAGUUAUUUAUUAAGAAACGCGCUAAUCUAACCAACCAAUACCUUUAAGGGGCCGUUUGGUUGCGAACUAGUUAUUUCAGGAUAAACUAUCCUGAGGUUAGUUAUCCUGGGAUAACUUAUUCCACCAUUUAUAUGAGAUAAGUUAUCCCAUAUAAAUGGUAGGAUAAAUUAUCACUUGCGAGUCUCUCCCUCGCCUCUCGCUUAUACAAAUAGUAAUGUAUAAAUUGUGUUUAUAUUUGUAUGAAGCGAGAAAAAAUUGUAUAUACAUAUGCCCAGUUCCUUUCCCUUUCUCUCUUUCUCGCUUUAUACAAACACAGAUUAUUCAAUUGAUCUUUUGUACAUGUAUGCCGAAUCAGAAACAUAUUAUAUACAACUAUUUUCUUUUAUAUAUGUAUAGCGAAAUAUACAUAUUUAUAUUUGAUAUAGAAUAAUUAUGCAAAUUAUAAGUAUAAUACACAAAUAUAAUUUUUGUGUUUGUUAUCUAUGAAAGUUGCUCUAAUAAUGAAUGAUGAUUAAUAGGUCACGUCUUAAUCUUAAUCACAACUGCAUUAUUUUAUUGAACAAGUUUGUGACCACAAUUUUUUCUUAUACAAUUUUUAAAAAAAAAUUAAAUCUAUGUCAACAAUUGUGCUUUCAUCGAAAUGAUUGUUUAGUGCCUAAUUUCUCGUGUUUAUAUAACAUGAAAGAGAAUGUCAUAUAAGUUUAAAUUGUGCGUACCAACAACAACAUAUAAUAUCGAAUUAAGUUAUAUUUGUAAUAAUGGCCGGUUAACUUAUUUGUAACAACUAGCAAACAUGAAAACAAGAUGAGAUAGAAUCAAAAGGGCCUUUCACCUUUAACUAGACAUUUCGUAUUUGAGUUUUGAGAAUGAGAUUAAAAAACUUUCCUAGUUGAUUUUUGCUUUAGAAGUACAAAAAGGUAAACAGUAAUGUAAUUCCAACUUUCAUCACUGAGUGGCAACAACACAAGGUUAUAUACUCUCAUUUGCCUAAGAUUUGGUGGGCAGAGGUGUCUGGUGCAUGUGAUGGUGGGAACAAACUCGCACUGCAACAAAAAUGAUUUUUAGCGGCAUUAAAUAUUGACAUUAAUAAAGAGUGUUAAAGUCUUUACUGGCAUUAGUUAAAUGUCAUUAGAACCAAUAUCGCUAAAGGCUUUAGGGACAUAUACAAAGUGACAAUUGCUGCUAAAAAUACAUAUUUAGCGGCAAUUGAGAAUUAAUUGCCGCUAAUAAUUAUUUUUUAUUGUACUGUCGUAAUUAUCAUACGUAGACCAAGAUAAGAAAUGGAUUUAGUUCAAGAGAAAACACUCCCAAUUAGGUGCUUUUCUAAUUGUUGCCUAAGCUUUGGUGGGCAGAGUUGCGGAAUAAAUAUACCAGUGUAGACCAACACAAGCAAUGUAUUUAGUUUGAGAAUAAAGAAACUCUUGAUGCAUUUAAAAUCAACCAUUGUCAUCAAUUCUUGGAAGUUGUAAGAGAAAAAUAAUUACGAUAAUUCAUGUGUCUUCAGUUAUAUGGUGCUCUCUAGAGAAGAUUAUCUCAUUACGAUACAGCAUCAGCAUCAGCAUUUCACUAAGAUUUACUGGUGGAUGCCUUCAACAACAACAUCUUCUUUGUGUGACGUCUUCCUUUUCCUCUUCUUUUUCACACUUCCCUCGUCAUUAUUUAACUUUUUAUCAUUUGUAACCACGGGCUUCUUUUUCUUCUUGAGUACUGAGAGUGGAUUUGGACCCUGUAGAAGGGAAGGCAUAAACCAUAGAGUCAUUCAGGAACGCGUUCAGCUAAACAUGCAUGAUGGCAAUAACAUCCAUGAAACAUAUUAUAUAUAAGUAAAUGUGGUACGACUUGAUCAAUUUAGAGGAACAACAGGCAAAACAAUUCACUUACAACAUAAUACAUUCAUUUGCGUCACUCAAUCUUUUUCAACUCAAAGUAAAUAGACGGCUAUGCACACAGCAACCGUUAAAUGCAGAAGUAUACUUAAAAGAAAUAAUAUCACACUUACAUAAAAAAACAUAACCACUUAUUUCGAAUAUAUGUCCAGCCAUCUAGCGUAGAGAAAGAAAAAACCUUUUGUUCAGAGCUUACCGAUCACAAUUUGCACACAAGCUAAUAGAAUGAGAGAAGCAACAAGUUAAAUUUUAAGUUGUGCAAGGGAAAAUAAGAAUAUAUUCUGAACCCUGACCUUAGCUUUCUUUCUCUUGCGAACUUUAUCCUUGCGCUCCACAUUUAUAUUAGUAAUCUGAUCCUCCAGGUCAGUUAUAGGAAGACGUUCUUCUUCAGAAGAUUUGGCAAACUGACUUUGAGAUGGUGAAGGGUCUUCGACAAAUGAUUCCUCCUCCAGAGCAGAGAUUAGGGGCACACAAGGUAUCUAUCCAGUUCAGGAAAGGAGAAACGAAGGUCAGAAAAAACAGGAUAAAAGCCAGUUGGCAUAUACAUAAUAAAUUGUUCUCCUAAAUGUUGGAGGUCUUUCAGGUUCAUUUUAAAGUAAUACCUGUUUGCCCAAGCUUUUGAAAUAUCCUUAUCAUGAGAAGUGCUUUUCGGAAAUCAGUGCUUUUCGGAAAAGUAAUUUUGGAGAAUAGCAGUUUGUGCUUUAGUUAAUCAAAUUGAAAAGCACUUCUGUCAAUAUUAGAACCGCAAUUUGUGCUUUGGUCUUGGUUCCAACUUUUGGGAAAAAGCUACUGUUUUCAGCUUCUACUGCUACUUCAAAGCACUUAAAUUUUUUUCCUAAUAGUACGGUAAAACACCUCAAACCUCUAAAAUAUGCACUAAGGAAAAAAAAAAAAGGCAAUUUUGACUGUUAAUCUUACAAACAAGAUAUAAGAUUUACAGAUACAAAAUAGAUUCUGGUCACUCCCUUGUGAGUACUAAAAUUUACAGAAAUGUUUUACAGUUUUAUCAUCUUAGUCCCACAUGCUAAGGCCAACUGGUGAACCACAAUAUAGUUCCUGUAGAUGCACAAAGAUCUCUUGUUUUUACCACUUCCCACAAAGAUCUCUUGUUUUUACCACUUCCCACUUAGAUAUUUAAAAAUAUUUUGACUACUGACAAAAGUCAGAGAUUGUGAGUUCCGCAUUUUGAAAUGGAUGCAACCCUAUUACACUAAGUAGUUGCCGGAGAUUUUUUUCUGACAAGGCAUCUUAAAAUAUGGGAUUUUACAGUGCACAAGUUUUAGUAAGUGAUAUGACAGAUAUUACAAUACAUAUAGGACAUUAUAAUCAAGGAAAGUAAGUUCAAAUACCACUCGAAGACUUCCACGCAAAUCACCAUCUUGAGUUUCAUCUUCUUUCUGUGACGUCUUCCUUCUCCUCUUCCUUUUCACACUUCCCUCACCAUUAUUUAACUUCUUAUCAUUUGUAACCACAGGCUUCUUUUUCUUCUUGAGUACUGAAAGUGGAUUUGGACCCUGUAGAAGGGAAGGCAUAAACCAUAGUCAUUCAGGAACGCGUUCAGCUAAACAUGCAUGAUGGCAAUAACAUCCAUGAAACAUAUUAUAUAUAAGUAAAUAUGGUACGACUUGAUCAAUUUAGAGGAACAACAGGCAAAACAAUUCACUUACAACAUAAUACAUUCAUUUGCGUCACUCAAUCUUUUUCAACUCAAAGUUAAGAGACGGCUAUGCACACAGCAACCGUUAAAUGCAGAAGUAAUACUUAUAAGAAAUAAUAUCACACUUGCACAAAAAAAAAAAUAACCUCUUAUUUCGAAUAUAUGUCCAGCCAUCUAGCGUAGAGAAAGAAAAAAGCUUUGGUUCAGAGCUUAAGGAUCACAAUUCGUACGCCAGCUAAAAUAACAAGAUAUUUAUCAAUCUAGAUAAAGAAAAAUCAUUCUUUAUGAAUCAAGCAACUUUCAGAGUAACUCUUGUAUCCUAGCAAUCGCUCAUGAAAUGACACACACAGAAGUUCCAGAAAAUCUCAUUUAUUAACAUCAUUAUGGUUUCUGAAAAGUUCAUGUCACAAACCAGCAAAAGCUGCACUUCCAAGGAAUUGUCAGGGAUGAGUUUUGUAUCCCAUAUCUUUCUACAUUUACCAGUCACUAACUUAAUGUAUGCUGCUUUGAUAAAAUGUGUGUUUACUUAUCAAAAGAAAGAACUUGUACCAAAGGCAUUGAAAAUUAACGUGUAAUAUUUCACCUGAAAGUAGAGAAUUGGUUCCUAAACAACGCUAUUUAAAUAGAAUGAGAGAAGCAACAAGCUUAAUUUUAAGUUGUGCAAGGGAAAAUAAGAAUAUAUUAUGAACCCUAACCUUAGCUUUCUUUCUCUUGAAGCAAACUUUAUCCUUGACAUCACUUCCAUUCCUCUUAACAUUUUUCUUGAUAAUCUGAGCCUGUGAAACAUCAUGUAUCUUUUCCUCUGAUGCAACGGAAGAAUUCCCUUGUUUGUCAUCGGACAGUCUCCUGUUUUUCAUUAUGUACUCCUGGUAAGCCAUACGAAGACGUUCUGCUUCAGAAGAUUCGGCAAACUGAUAUUGAGAUCGUGAAGGUUCUCCUAGAAAUAAUUUCUCCCCCACAGCAGAUAUUAGGGGCACACGAGGUAUCUACCCAGUUCAGGAAAGGGGAAACAAAGGUUAGAAAAAAACAGGAUAAAAGCCAGUUGGCAUUUACAUAAUUAAUUGUUCUCCUAAAUGUUGGAGGUCUUUCAGGUUCAUUUUGAAGUCAUACCUGUUUGCCCAAGCUUUUGAAAUAUCCUUAUUAUGAGAAGUGCUUUUCGGAAAAGUAAUUUUGGAGAGUAGCAGUUUGUGCUUUAGUUAAUCAAAUAGAAAAGCACUUCUGUCAAUAUUAGAACAGCAAUUUGUGCUUGGUCGUGAUUUCAGAAGUGCUUUUGGGAAAAAGCAACUGUUUUCAGCUUCUAUUGCUACUUAAAAAGCACUUAAUUUAUUUUCUUAUAAGUAUGGUAAAACACCUCAAACCUCUAAAAUACGCACUUAGGAAAAAAAUAAGCAAUUUUGAUUGUUAAUCAAACAACCUAUAAGAGUUACAGAUACAAAAUGGAUUCUGGUCACUCCUUCGCAACGAGUACAUAAAAUUUACAGAAAUAUUUUACAGUUUUAUCAUCUCAGUCCCACAUGCUAAGGUCAACUGGUGAAUCACAAUAUAGUCCUGUAGUCUGUAGAAUGUAGAUGCACAAAGAUCUCUUGUUUUUACCACUUCCCACUCGUUUUAAAAAUCUUUUGACUACUGACAGAAGUCAGAGAUUGCGAGUUUCGCAUUUUGAAAUGGAUGCAACAGAUUAUUUCACUAAGUAGUUCCUGAAGAUUUUCUGACAAUACAUCCUAAAAUAUGGGUUUUUUCCAGUUCACAUGAUAUGACGACAUUACAAUACAUAUAGGACAUUAUAAUCGAGGAAAGUAAGUUCAAAUACCUUUCGAAGACGUCCACGCAAAUGACCAUCUUCAGUAGCAACAACAAAGUUUUGAGAAUUUUUCUGCCCAAUAACUUCAGUUAUGCAAUCUUCAGCACGUUUCCAUGUUUCAUGGCCGCAUCUUCAAUAGAGUAAGAUGUGGCAUAACUCAAAAGACUGUUGUGAGAACUGAAGCAACAUACAUCCUGCUCUGGAGAGAAGCAAUAAGAAGAAGAGAAUAAAUGCUAAUCGUGCAACAGUACAAAGACUUUUAGCUGCUUCCAGUGCUUUGGAUAUGGGAAGACUCUCUGCUUCCUGUUUGGAUAAGGGAAGACUCUCUGCUUCCAGUGUUUUGGAUAAGAGAACAAACUCCAACUCCGCAAGAAGGCAUCUGAAGGAAAGAGGAGACAGGAAGUGACCAAACAGUUUAAAAUCGAAACAUAUUUAGCUUUUGUGCAAACAAAGUUAGAUCAUGUAAAGACCAUAGCAGAAAAGAGACAAAUGGAGCUGUUGAAAUAAACCUGGUUGUAAAGAGUUCAACUCUGGCGCCAAGACUAUUUUCCAAUGCAGUCUUAAGUGGUAUGUCUUUAACAACAAGUGUAUACACCAAUGUUCCAUCACAUAAGAUCUUAAACGGCUCUCUAAACCCAAAACAAGUUUUAUAAAACUUCAACGCUUUCUUAUGUUGUUUCUGUUUUUUCACUCUCUUCUGUCAGCAGGCAAGAGAAAGGAGAAAGAAAAAGAAGUUAAAACUUCAACAUAAAAUGAUAAAAAGAUACAUAUGAAGCUAAGGUCAAGUUUAAUCAAUAGAAUUUUAAGAAAUUCAUUCAUGACCAAAGGGAUAUCUAAUUUGAUAAAUGCAUCCAUAAAUUGCAACAACAUACAGUAGUUACUUACAAGAAACUGAAGGAAUUUUCAACUGGAGAACACUGCAACACUAUUAGUAAUAAUAUAAAGAAAAACUAUAUAUUUGAACGGCAUCAAAAAAAAAAAGAAGUAUAAUAAAAACAGAGACAGAAGAUAAGGACCCGAAUAGAUCAUGGACACACAGACACCUUAAUCUGAAGAGUUCAAAGUUGAAAUUCAUAACUAGCAAUAUAUCGAAACUCAAGAAGUCAUAUCAUCAAAUUUCAUAAGCUUUGAAGUCUACGCACCAAAAGAAAAAAACUUUCAGGCUUAACCCAAGAACUCGCUCAAAUCUUGAUGUUAAUUCAAGCCUAGGGUUAGAUUAAUUCUCCAAUGUCAUAAAUUCAAUGAUAUUCAAACAAUACACUAAACUUACCUACUUAAUAUACCAAAAGUUAAAAAAUAAUAAUCAACGUUGCAAAACCUAUGUUAAUCGCUGGAGAACAGAAAUUGCAGAAUUUGUCAAUUCAUCAAUUCAAUACCGUCUAAUCAUCCUAUUGAAGUAAGCUGUUGCAGCAAGCAAUUCUUCAAAAUUCGUAACGUGCUUACCGGAUUCUUCUUCAUGUUGCAAAAGACUUCAAGAUUUUUUUAUCACAGUGAACUAAGCCGCUAUUGAAAUCAGAGGAAGAGAGAAUUGGAAGCUUCUGUAUUUUACUAUGGAAAACUGAAUACAACGAAUGAUAUGAAGCAAAUAUAUAUAGUUUGACAUCAUAUACAAACUACUCUUUACUUUAUAACUAACUAUAACUAACUAUAUGUAACUGACGGUAACUAAUUGAACACUAAUGACUUAACUACCGUUAAUUAACCACUUAACUCCUCACCUCACUUUGUUUAUUACUGAUCAUGUUGUGACCUCCUAAGGGGAAGAUGGUUCAGAAGAGCGAGAUGAAAAGUAUUCUUACUACUGUAAGCUGAGAGCAAUAAUGCAAUCCAGAGCAGGAGGAGGCGCAAAUGGUGGUUCAACCACAGGCCGGAGCAUUGCAGGUGGCCGGAAUCGAGGAGAUGAUGAAAAGGAAACCUAAGCUAAUCAUGUUAGCCGGAAUCGAGGAGAUGAGUUUUACUACUUGUUUUAUGAACUCUUUGGCUGUUUGGACUUGGGCUUUAGGCCCAAGUAUGUAACUCUUUUCUUUAUAGGGAAAAAUUGUGCAGACAAAUUAUUAAUUAACUUAAAAUAAAUAAAAUUAUUAUUAUUUUUGAUUAGUUUGCUAAUUAUAUAAUUGGUGUCAUUCGAAUAUUGCUUUUGAGAUUUUUUUUUAUAUCAAUAUAUAAGCUUGUACUUUUCCACUUUAAUUCUAUACAAUUCAGCGUAUAAUAUCUAUUAAGUCUUUAUACUGAUACAAUUAAUAUGACAUACAUGUAAAAAGUACAUGAUUAAAUAUAUAAUUAAUUAAUUAUCAUCAAAAAUAAAUAAUAUAUAACAUUUGUGAACUAAAUCAAUUUAAUAAUUAAUACAAAAGUCCAAAGUGUUAACAAAAUAAUUUUUCCUUACCACAAAAAACUGUUACGGUAAUAAAUUUGAAGAUCAUUAAUGCGUAUUCCUUUUCUCAGUAUCAUUAAGUGGCCAUAAUUUUUUUCCUUGACCAAUGAAUUAAGAACACAUUCCCAUCGUAUAUAUAUAUAUAUAUAUAUAUAUAUAUAUAUAUAUAUAUAUAUAAUGGGAAUUAAAAUAUUACAAAAUAUAUAAUUAUUUAAAUAUUAAAUACUAUCAUCUGAAUUACAUGAAUAUGUAAUGAUUUUUUAACUUCAUUCAACUAAUUUUUGACUAAAUAUCUAAUUUGUUAAAAAAAGUUAAGUUACAUUAAAGGGUGAGUAAAAAAAUCAUUAAGUUAAAAAGUUCGAAUUAGGGUACAUGUACAUCAAUUUUUUAUGAGCAUAUCUAUAUGGUUAUAUCAAAAUUUUAUUGAUUUAAUGGCGCAAAAGAUUUAUGAUUCGUAAAUAUAUAUUUUUUAAUUUGCAUUUUUACAAGAAAAUAAAUGGUACUUUAUAAUGCAAUGAAUAAUUAAUAUUGUAGAAAAGUCUUUUCAUCUACUCUUAUUGAAAUUCUUCAAUAUUAACUUACCAAAAUAAAGUUAAAAAAGUACUUUAUAGAGUAACACAUUAUAAUAAUAUAGCCAAAUUUUUGUCUACUCUUAUAAAAAUACUACUUAAUGUUUUUGAUAUUUUUAAAAAUUGUUCUACCUUUUGUGUUUUCAAUUUAAUUGCAUUGUAGCGAUAUAUUUAUAUAAAUUCAUAUAAAGUGUUUGCAAAGAAUGUAUCACAAUUUUUGGGAAUUCAAGAAAGAAACAAAAUUGUCAAAAUUAUUUCUUUUGUUUGGUAUGUCUAUUGCUUCUUUCUUUUCUUUUUUUCAAUUGAUUUACGAUGUACACAACUAAUUUGUUGUUGUUUUUUUGACAUCAUAUAAGUUCAUUUUGACUUUUUCGUAUUUCUUAGUUUUUUUUUUGUAUAUUUUAAUGUAAUGUUAUUGCUUCACAUUAUAUUUACUUGAUAUGAGCAUGAAUUUAUAUUUUAGUGAUUACAUAUUUUUACAAAGUAUUAUAAUUUUUGGUGUCUUUUCAUAAUUCAUAUCCUCUUAUCACUACAUUCUAUGAGUAUAAAUAGAUUAAACUCUUAUUCAUGUUAUUUGAAAAAUAUAAUAUUGAUUGAUGUGGAAUACACAUGCAAAGCACGUGUCUAGAAACUAGUAUUAUUAAAAAUGAGAAUAAAAAAAUUGAAAGUUGAAACGAUUUUACCCCUUCUAUAAAAUAUUUUUUUCGGUUGGAUGUUCUCAAAUUAACUUAGUUGAUUCAAUUUUUAUUAUUUUUAAUAAAUAUUAAAAAGAGAUAAAAUAGAAAGAAAAAAACAAGAGUGUGCAGGUCUUCUUCUCUUUGGUGAAGACGACGACUUGAAAGAGGUGGAUGGGGUUUUUUUUUUUUUGUUUUAACAAUUAAUAUUAAUUUUAAAUUAAAAAAUUAAACUAUUUAAUUGACGAGUGGAAAAAAAUAUUAAGUUUCUUUUGAAAAAAUAAAAAUAUAAUAAUAUUCAGAUUUUUCAUGCGCUUAGUGAAGUGAAAAAUAAUUUUUUGCCACAUCAAUAUUUGUGUUUAAUAAAUAUACUCUUUUGAAUUAUUUAAGUAUUUAAUAUAUAAUAGUCAUAAUUGAGAUAUUUAUAUGAAAUAUGCAUAUAACUUUAAGGAGUUAGGAGUUACGAAUAAUUAGUAAAUAUGUAAUAGUCGUAAUUGAGUAUAGUUGUUUUGUUUUGUUAGUUGUCAGCGGGAUCUUUUUAGUUUUAUAAUGCUAAAAAAAUUCAAAAGCCAUUCAAAUAUUACUCUAUAAUCUAAUUAUCAAAGACUGAAUUUUAUAUUUAAAGGGAGGAAUUAGAUGAUUAAUAAAAAUUGUAACACUUUACUAUGAUUAUUGUAAGGUUCUAUUUACCUGAUUAUUAUUUUCUUGACAAUUUUUUAACCAAUUCAAGCAUGUAUUUCAUAUCUUUAUUUCUUUUUUUAAAGAAAUAAUUUAUCUGUAUCUAAUUAUUUGUCCAUCUCUGAAUUGACAUAUCUAAAAAAUAAUUUAUUAGCAUAAUGAAUUUAAUAUUUUACUCUUAUUAACUAUAAAGUGAAAAAAUUAAUAUUUUUAAGAAAAUGUAUCUUUUUCAAAAUAAUUAAAUGAGGGUAUAAUAAAAUUCUUACCCUUAUUAAUUACAAAGUGAAUGAACUAAAAAUAUAAGAUUUACAAAAAAAUUUAUAUUUUUCGAAGUAUUUAAUGAUAAUAAUAUAUUAAUUGUAUUCUUAUAAUUAAAUUUGAAAAAUAAUAAUAUAUAAAAACCUAUUCAUAUUUUAAAAAGUAAAAAAAAAUUAUUUUGUAUAAGCGGUUAGUACAUAAAGAGGGAGAAACGGAGAACGGUUGGCAUACAAAUGGCGCCAAAACUAAGAGAGAAAUUGUUCAUUAUUUUCCACUCAUCAAAAACAGAUAAAAUUACUAUCGCUUUAUCUAUUUUUUGUUUCUUCAGAUUAUGACAUUUCUGCUAUUGCUAGGCAUAUUAUGAAGGUACGAGGAUGACAUAUAUUCAGUAUUUAAUUUAAUUUUUUCCAAUUUUUCUGAAGAUAUUUUAUUGUGAUGGAUCUCAAAAUUUAUUACCCAGAAACAAAUUAAAUUUUCAAAGUUUACUUGUUAGAUCAAAUUAGAUGUCCAGCACGAUUUACGAGGUGGAUCGGGUUAAUCUAAACCUAAAACUUCCUAUGUGGAAUAUAGAUUUAUAUAUAAAAUUGUCAUGUAUGAACUAAUAACUUGAAAAUACAAUGGGUUUAAUGGUUGAACGUAUAGAGAUUAAAUACUGGAUCCGCCCCUGAUGGGUGGUUUCGUUUAAGGAAAAUAUUUUUUCCAUUAAAAAAUAGAUUCUUUGGAAAUUCUUUUUCCAAUAUUUGGUUUGGUAUGGAAAAAUAGGUGACAUGAUAAUUGUACAAAGUGUAAUAUAGAUUGUAAAGUAAUACUCACAACAAUAACAAAUGAGUGAAAUCUCAUAAAUGGGAUCUGAAAAGGACAGAGUGUAUGCACAUAUUAUUCGUAUAUCGUGGAGGUAGAAAUGCGUCUCUGAAUGACCCUUGGCUCAAAUAUAGCAUAUGAGAGCAUGCAAAAGUAAAGAAUAAGACCUUGCAAAUAAUACCAAUAGCGAAAGUAAUAACAAGUGUUUCUUUGAAGGUAUUCACAUGUUCCUUUAAUGAUUUCUUUGGUCCUUCGGAAAACAACCUAUCUACUCCACGAGGUAGGGGUAAGGUCUCGCGCAUGAAUUCUUACAUUCCCUUUUAUUUUUUAUUGUGUUCUGUUAGCACCUUGUUGAUCCAUCAGUUUUAGCUAAUCCGGUAUAAUUCACAUGUAUCAGGUGUAGGAUGCUGCAAAACUCUAAAUCAAUUAGGUAGUAUCUGUAGCUUGUUCACAAAGAGUAUAUUGUAACACAAUGGGGAAGGGUUUGAGAAGUCGACGAGAAUGUAAUCCUCCGGGAUGCAUGUUUGGGAUACUUCAUCAUUUAAAUCAACAACAUCGGUGGCAUCAAGUCAGGAAACGCCUCCCGUACAUCAAGCAGGGCGGUGCAAAGCAUAUUGUUGGUAAGAAAAGCAUUAGUUGUUGGUAGAUAUAGAAAUGAUCGGAAACAGACUCUGUAUCCCACAAAGAUAGGGGUAAGGUCUGCGUAUAUCCUAUCCUUCCCAAAUCUCACUUGUGGGAUUAUAUUGUGUAUGUUGUCAUAGAUAUAAAAAUGAUCAUAUUUUCAUUUUAUAUAGGAGAGGCUUAAACCUAUUUAUUGUGAAGUAGAAUUGUCCAUAUUCAACUUAUCAUUUUAUUCAGUUGGCACCAGGAAUUUUGCUAAGGGUAUUCAAGGUUUAAAUAUAUGUACAAGAAGUAAAUCUUGACUUACAUACUCGGUACAAUUUUCCGAUGAAGGAUGUCCAGUCAUGCUAUACGCCACUCCUUUUAGUUAGUCCUUGGCUACUAACAUGAUUUGACACUUGAAACAAGUGAGUAGAAAAGAAAGUGUGAUAUACUGUGUCAUUUUUUUCAGCGGCAGGAGAUCGUGGGAGUAAUGCAACUGCAACUGAUUCUUCUAACACUCCAGAAAAAAUAAAUGUCAAAUCGGAAGAUUUCCCUGUAAGUAACCUGCUUCAUGCUUGCCUCUUGUUCUUCUUACGCUUCUGUUUUGUCGUUGUUUCUUCUGAUACAUGUGCAAAGAGACAACAUGUGUUUUGCACAUAACUGUAUAUGCUAACAAAUUCAUUAUUUCAGAUUGUAGUGAAAGCAGAAGCCAAAACAGUAGCCACGCAGCAAAAAAGUUCAAUAAAAUCUCGUUUAAAAACUUUGAUCACAAAAGAGCUACUAUCUAGUAAAAGGGUCCAACAUCGCCGAACUUUGUCCUGUCCUAUAACAAUGCCGCUGGAACAAACUGCUCCUAUUCGUUAUCUAGGCCCUGCCAAUGUAGAGCAUUCUCCGAAAAUUCGUCUAAAUGAUGAGAUAUUGCAGCAGCCUCAGAAUAAGAAUUUGUCCGUUGCUAGUUUGUUAGAUCCACCCCUGCCGGAGAAGAGAAAGGAUGCUGUUACCAACAACAAGAAAUGUGAGUUGUGUGCUUCUAUGCUUGAUAUGAAUCACUUAAAGCAAUGUGAUACUAAAAAGAAUGGGAAACAACCAAGUACAAACUUCAGUUUUCGUCGUACACAGUCACUUUAUCUUAGAGAGCAGACUAAAAAUGUGUCAGUUGAAGAGUCGAAGCUAUUCUUGGAUGCUCUUGAUUUACUAAACAUGAGAGAGGAGUUGUUCCUUAAAAUAUUACAGGACCCGAAUUCUUCAUUAGCACGUCAGUUACAAGGUACACGUGCAUCCAAAGGCUUAACCAAGUCCGUGUCAUUUCCUUCGCGUUUGUCACUUGAAAAAAUUGCUGCCAGGUCAAGCAAUGAUAAGAGCAGCCAAGAUAAGUCACAAAUUAGAGGUAAACUGUUGGGGUCAGCUGGAUUUGAAUCUGCAGAAAAGUUGAAUAGACAUUUAGUAGCGAGGAACAAGGAGGAAGUCACAAAAGGUGUACUGACAAGACUUGAAUCAUUUGAUAAGCUCCCUCCGAGUUCACCAGCUGCACUCAAACACAAGCGCCACAAUAGUAAACUUGUCCUUGCACGUUUCAGGAAUUUGAAGGAGAAAAUAACACAUGCUCUCAAGGAAAGCCGUAAGGAGAAGCAUCGGAUUGCUAUGGAUGCUGUCCUUCAUAAGGUUCCACACGGUCAUAUGUCAUUGAAGAAUGUUAAACCAGAUGGAAGUGACGGAUCAUUUUCAGAAAGUACUGGUAACACUUCUCGCUGUCAUUCUCCAUUUAGCAAGAGUCAGAUGAAAUCCUUUAAAAGAACGUCAUCGCUCAAUGACUCGUUGGACAGUUACAGUAGAUUACUUGAAACCUGCUUUAGUAGGGAUGAAAAACAGAACAGCUCCGAAAGGUCGAGUUUGAGAGCAUCUAGAUCACCUUCACCAGCUAGAAGUAGGACUAUAGCCCUGGAAAGGAUUCUUUCCUUACCUGAUCUUAGGCAUUACUCUUCUUUCCGAAUUGAGGAAACUCCCGAAGCUAGCUAUUCAGAAACACUCGAUACAGCUGCUUCGACUGCAUCUAGCAGCAACUUAUAUUCAGGGGCUACCAGGUCCAAUGAGCAAAAGUCCCUGGAUAUUCCUUUAGGUUCAGAAAAGAAAACUCAACAAGAUUCAUGUUCAGACUCAAAGAUUCUAGAAAAUUCUCUUGAUGUUAGCGAGAAUUCCGAUGACAUUGGUGGCUUAAAGGCAGAGGAGAACUCUUUUCCAGUUGAAUACAAUAUGGAUGACAAUUUAUCUACUAACUCCACUUUGGAUAAACCGAUUUCGACUACUUUGCCUGAUAUGAUAAUUCAAGAAGCUAGUACCAUUCCAGCAGAUCUCUCCGCGAUUGAAGGUAUUAUUUUGAGUCAAUCUUAUAUUCUUCUCCCAUUCUCCAUACAUUUUACACAACCUUAACCACUGAGCUAUCUCUCUCAAUUGUUUCAUUUUGUGUUAAAAGUUAAAUUAUUAGCGUAGAAAUCAUAUUUGACCUAUAUACUUGUGUUUUCAUCACUGCUCACGCUAUCAAUGACCCCAACAUGGUAUUAUCCUUUAGUCGUCAUUGAAAAUUUUGUUGGCAUUUAUGUUAAGAUAAUGGUGAUCCCGCCGUCUUCAAAUCUUGGGUCCGCCUCUGGUGGUGCAUAUUUGCUGCAAGCAUAUUAGAACGAAAACCAAAACUUCUAAAUUUCUGCAGCAAUGUUGUUAUUUUUUGGCUAACUAACUGAAUGUUUCCUCAGGUAUAGCGGAAAAUGCAUUUGAUUCCAAUGAAGAAGAAAUAUUAGACCAUGAACAGAUGACAAGUCUAUUGCAAAUUCAGGUGGACGAAAAAAACAAAGCUGAAUUCAAUUAUGUAAAAGAUGUACUGAACCUAUCAGGCUUUAGUGGAAAUGAAUUUAUGAACCUUUCAGUAUUUGAAGAACUUGGAGGAUCUUUUCUUCAUCAACCCGAAUGUUCAGGAUACGCUGAAGAAAGGGGGAACUAUGAUCAACUUCUUCUAUUUGAUUUGAUCAAUGAGGUCUUACUACAACUUUACGAGAGAUCAUCGUUAUACUGGCCAAAGGCCUUAACGUCUCGUUCUUAUAUACAUCCAAUGCUACAUGUUGGAUACUAUCUGCUUGAAGAGGUAUGGAAAGAUGUAAGCUGGUGGCUCAGCUACAAACUGGAGAAUGAUCAAUCAUUACUUGAUGAUGCUGCGAGCCGUGAUCUGGAUAAAAGGGACAAUUGGAUGAACCUGCAAUUUGAUGCAGAGUGUGUUGGAUUGGAGCUCGAAGAACUCAUAUUCGAUGAUCUUUUAGACGAGCUAAUAUUCAUCGACGUUUAUUAGUCCUUCUCAGGUAGGUGCAUUACAUUUCUUUUCUUCUUCAUAGAAAUUGUUCAGCCAGUUCUCUCUCAGUUGAUAGAGUAUAGGCAAAAAACUAGUGAUUGAGUAAAUAUUUCGUAACAAAAUUGUUCUAAACUGUAUAGAUUUAGUAGAUUAAGCUCGGCGCAUAUAUAAGAAGAUGCAGUUGAGUUUUCUGUAGUAUAACUAUAAUCGAGAAGUGGAGAAUGCUUAUCAUCCAAGCAACUCCCUCUUGUCGUUAUGUUCCAUUGGAAGUACUAAUAGAUGUAAGAUAUCCUGUUCAAGUGAAGAUCUGUAUUUUGUGCUCUAUUUUCAAGAAAUGUUUGUGGGAAGAUUUCCAAAAGGAUUCUCAAGUUAAGUGAACAGUAUUUGUAAUCUAUGAUUUAUUUAUUUUUAAACUCUAUGGACACAACAUCGGAGAAUGAAAAAUAUGUAUUAGCUAUGAAGAUGAGGAUAACCUGUAAUUUUGUGUUCGGUGAAAUAUAUAUUGUAAAAUUAGUUAAACACAAGCCCGUCUAGCUCAGUUGGUAGAGCGCAAGGCUCUUAACCUUGUGGUCGUGGGUUCGAGCCCCACGGUGGGCGUUUUUUGAUUUUUUUUUAAAAAAAAGUUUAUCUAGAGCAUGUAUAAUUCAAUUAUGAUAUAUCUGAUAAUCUUGGUGGGCGUUUCUGGAUUUUUUUUAAUUUUUCAUAUCAUUCAACGAGGGUGUACAUUCGUCACUUGGUUCGUUUUAUUAGGGUUUUGAUUUUAAAUACGCUAAAUCAAUAACAAAUCAAAAGAUAUUCUUUAUAGGAUUGGUCAUUAACGGUUCGAUUUUCGAUUUAUCCAAUAAGCAAAUGCCUCAUAAAAUAAAUAUAUGAUUUUAUACUUCUCUAACAAUUAGGCACGAGGCAAUGAAACAAUCAAAUCACCUGCAAAAAUCAGAAAUUAGGUCAGUAAGAGUAGAAGUACUAUGAUGUGUGUAGAUCAUGUAGAAGUACUGAUAUAGCAUAAUAUGAAAUUUCUUAUGUGAAGUAGAAGUACUAUGAUGUGUGUAGAUCUGUAGAGUACCGAUAUAAUGUCUAGUUAUAUUAAAUUAUUAAUAUUUAAUAUUUAUGAAGGAUAAUAUAGUUAUGAGUUACAAUCGUCUUAUUGGGAUAACGAUUUAUUCAAUAUCCCAAUACUAAAAAUAAAUACCAAAUCGAUAACCAAAUAAUUUAAUAUUUUUUUCGAUUCAAUUUUUGCACGCCCGUAUAUUUUAACUAUGAUAUAUCUUUCUGUUCUAAAUUCUAGUUCUCUAUUCGAGAGUAUUAAAUUUGUUCCUAACCAACAUUCAUGCGCUAUACCUUUCCGUUCUAAAUUCUAAUACUCUAUUCCUCUAUUCAAGAGUUAUCUUUAUUUAUCAAAUUUGUUCCUACCCAACAUUUAUUAUGCUUCAUUGUAUUAAAUGAUUAAAAAAAAAAAAACCAUUGUUGAGAAAAGAUGGGUCUUCAACAAAAAAAAACUAUUUAUCAGUUCUUUUUUAUCCUGUGGGGAAGAUUAGCUCUUAAAGAAAUCCACUACUAUUGAAUCCUUUCUUGGCAGAACUAGUAGAAAUGAAUACCCAGUUAGUUAAAUGAUUUUUGAGUUUAAACGAGCGUCAAACAGAAGAUAAUUUUAGGAGCAAUUUCACUGAUCAAAGAGCACAAAUAAUUUAAGAAUUCCAGAAAUUCGAAGGCGGAUAAACUAGACGGAACGGUUAGGAGCAGUGCAAAAGUAAGCUUAGAUAAUAUUUAAGUGCAACUCAAAAGCCUUGGUGCUCUUCCAACAUAUUGUUGAUAAGAUCUCAACUUAUAUCUCCAGAUUGAACUGUGUUUUUGUGUGUGUGGUGGGGGUGAGGGUGAGGGUGAGGGUGAGGGUGGGAGUGGGGGUGAGGGUGUCAUAUUAUCAUAUGCCUGCUUAGACUAUAAUUUACACCUCUAAGGAGACAAAUUGGAUGGAUCAAAACUAUAUCAAAACACACUUUAUU